CCGAGGAACUUGACGCGGUGUGCCGGCGCGAAGGCGUACAUGGUGACGAGGAGGACGAGGCCGAAGGCGGCGACGUCGAGGAUGAAAAAGUAGGCGAGCGUCCUGAGCCUGGCCCUGGGCGGCGCGUAGACGAGGUAGGCGAUGAUGUAGACGGUCUCGAUGCCGCAGCCGAAGCCGUUGAUGGUGAGCAGGAGUGGGGACUCGGUCUUGACCAGCGCGUAGAAGAUGAGCAGCGAGCAGCUGAAGAGCGCCACCACGUACGGCACCGAGCUGAACCCGCCCGUCGUCUUCUUCCUGUAGAUCCGCAGGAACGUCGCCCUGCACCCGUAACGUACGCGCGCGUCAGUAAUUCAAGAUCACCACAUGCAUCAUUGAUAGGAACUAAUUAGCUGGUUACAAGCACUUACAUUGGCGCGAGGAACACGAAGAAGGAGACGAUGUUCCCUGCACCAUCAAGGAGGAGGAAAAUCGACGCCGUUAGUUACUUGACAAGUUUGUCAUUGACAUUAUUCCUUAGUUAAUUGUUUUGGCACUUAAUUAGUACUGAAAUGCUAUUUUAACUUAUUUAUUAGUGCACGGGUGCAACUAACGGCGGCAAGGAAGUUGCAGGGGGGAGCACGCAUCCGUCGCCGCUCAACCAAUCGCCACUUGAAGAAAAAGAAAGGGAAUUUGGCAGAGAAAUGGAUAGAGGCCGGGUGCAUGGUGAGCUGUUGGUGACAAUGCAUUAACUACGAAGAGGAAUGCAUGCACAAUUGAUGGAUGGAGGUUUAGCCUUUUAGGUGUGAUGGAUCGAUCUGUGUCUGUGUGUGUCUGUGCCGUUUGUCAGCAGCCGAGGAUGUGUUCUUGCUAGAAGUGGGAGGUGGUGGGGUUCUGGAUGCGCUUCCCUACCCUAUGCAAGGAACCAACCAACCUAGACGACGAUCCAUCUUGCGAUACAUGCACCUGAAUGAAACUGCAUUUCUCGAUCACGUACCUGCGAUGCCGGCGAGGGCGGACGCCGGGUGAGACAUGUCGAAGGGGCCCCCAGCCAUUGCGACGACGGCUCGGCUACUACUAGCUAGCUAGCGCUGGUAUCAGCUGGAGGAAGGGGAGGGAGAGAGAGAGAGAAGAUCUUAGCCAAGAACAAGUCCCGAAGCCAAGAGUCCCCUCUCCUACUCCCUUUCCGGGUGACACAAGGAUCAGUGCCUGGCUCUCGAGGAGAUGCGACUGCUGCUUGUGUGCUCUGGCCUCGGCGACGGGCGCCGGCUUAUAUAGGUCCAGAGCCGGGCUCCUUUUCCCUGGCGCUGGUGCUCUACAGUGGGCAGCCCACUCCUGGCCGCGCGCAUCAUCCAUGGAUGGAGCGGUCCGUUCAUCACCCUGCCCGGCCGGCCUUGUCAAACACACUAGCUAUUAGCCUAUUACCACUCUCUCUCUCUCUCUGUCUCUCUCUCUCUGUGUGUGUGUGAACAUUUGGUGCAUUUGGAACGUAGGCAAAAUGAGUUUUUGGAAACGUGGGGUAUAUCGCAUCUGCGUGGUUUAGUCUUGGAAAGUCGUGUGAUCGGGAGGGGAAGAUGGUACAUUUUAUUUUACGAGAGGAAAGUGAAAUUGGCGAGCUUAAGAAUUUUAGCGACAAAGCCGGCCGCGAGCGAUUCGACCUUCGCAGGAUGCGUAUCAAUUUCCGUUGUGUUUAUUACCUCUGUUGAAAACCGCUAGACCUAGACCUCUUCCAUCUUUUAUUUUUCUUUCCUUUUUUGCGAAAGCCGCUGGACAGACCGCCGGAACGGUUCCCUUGGUUGUUUUGUGUUUCCUCGUUGAACUGGUACUAGUAUAUACGCAUCGAUCGGCUGGGUCGACAAAGCUGAAAGCAUCACCUUCUCUCCACCUAGUACUCACAACAAUAACCAACUCACUUCUUGUCUAAUAUAUAAAGGAAAACCAGCUUCUUUAAUCCUUGUUUACUGCUGUAUUUGUAAAUUUUGUAUAGGGGGAUUUAUUACCUGGUUUUUUCAUGAGUUUCUCUAGUGCAUCAUCAGCGCUGCGAUUGAUGUGAAACGGGAGGCUUUUACAGGAGAUGCUGGUUGCGAGGGAAGAUGUCGGCUAUGGUGUCAGUGAUACCUCUACGGUUCUGAGAUUUACUUAUGUAUUAGGAAACAUACCCUUAUAAUUCCAACGUACAUAUAUGGUAAUAUAAACACCAUAGAUUUGAUAACUUAUGUAUAAAAAUCGUUGUAAUUCAGCCUGCCCUCGCCUUGGCCUCAACGCACUAGCUACUACUCCCAAAUGUGAAUUGAAAUGUUAUGAUUGAAUAUGAAUACUUGUUCUAUUUUUUGGUAUCUCCUUUGGAGUAAAGGCCGCAGCCUGACUUUAAAUUAAUAAAGCCAUCAUGGAACCAGAGUAACAAUCAAACAUUCGGGGCAAAGUGUCAAACCACCAAGCAAAAAUAAGAUGGCCACAACCAACAAAAAUGGCACGCAUGCCAAGAAAAGAACCCAACAAAACCAGCCUAAGACGAUGAUAGAACGCAAAAUGCAGCACCAACUACGGCGACCUGGCCCGAUCACUUCUGGAGACAGAAGUAACAAACGCAUGCACACGAACGAUGAGGACAUCCACAACCGCUUUGUCAGUCUUCUUAAUCAGAGAUUUCCACUGCUGCAAAAAUAUGGACAGAUUGAAGAUGACAUUAACUGUCGAGUCAGGGAACACCUGUUUAAUAGUAAACUUGUUUCUCGUCAUCCAUAGGAUCCAACACAUGGCAAAGAAGCCAAACCAAAACAACCUCUUGAACUAAUCGGACACAGGAGCCGCGAGCAAAAGGGGAUCAGAGAAAUUAGAAGGGGCCCAAGGAACACCCAUCCGCUCCCUCAUACAGUUCCAAAGCAAGGAAGCCAAUGGACACAUAAACAGGAUGUGAUCAGUAUCCUUCAAGCUCCCACAAAGAAAGCAGAACUCCGUACCUAAGCCAUGUCGUUUCUUAAUCUGAUCAGUAGCGGGUAACCGGACCCUCAUGGCCUGCCACAUGAAAUUUUUGAUUUUUGGGGGCACCCUAGAAGACCAAAUGAACUUUGACACCGAUGGGACGGAGGACAAAACACGAUAGCAAGAUUUAACCAAAAAACAACUAGAUGCACAAUGAGGCUAGAAGGCCACAUCAUGAUCCUCCGAGAGAAUAGAGAGGACAUCAGCAAGGUGAUGCCAAUCUUCCAUCUCUUUAGGAGAAAAGACCUGACGGAAAUCGAUGUCCCAACCACUGGCCACAAGCUCCGCGAUAGAGAUAGAAGGAAAACACACAAAAGAAAAAAAGCAUAGGAAAGGAAAAGGCAAGAGGGCCAUCUCCCACCCACCAGUCCAACCACAACCGAACGGACAUGCCAUUGCCAACUGAAAAUUUCACCACACAUUUGAAACCAUCACAAACCUGUAGGAGCUGGCGCCAAAACUGAGAGACCGAGGAUCCGGACUCAGAAUUAGCCAAGAGAGGAUGCGAAACAGGAUGUAUUUAGCUUUAAGAACGCACAACCAAAGAGAGAUUGGAUCAGAAUGAAGAAUACACAUCAAGCAGUUGUUCAUAAUAGAGGUAUUGAGGAUCCCGAGACCCCCAAACCCUUAGACUUACACAUAAGCUUCCAUUUCACGAGCAUGUACUUCUUUUUGUUGUCCGCAGUGUUCCAGUAAAAACCACUCCUAUGUUUGUCAAAGCCAGCAUGAAUACCCUCGGGAAGGCGAUAAAAACCCAUGAGAAACAUAGGGAGGGAAUUGAAGCACACAUUGAUCACGCUAACCCUACCAGCCGUGGAGUUGUAGCGACCCCUACAAGGCAUAACUCUAUUACCCACCUCAACAACACGGAAAUUGAAAUCCUUCAAUAACAAUUUGAGGGGAGAGAUAGGCAUCCCAAGGUAUAUGAAAGGGAAAGAAUCAAGAGAACAGUUUAGAAGAGUAGCCACCUCCCUAGACUCCUCGGGAGGGGCACCCAAAAUAAGGAUCUCACUCUUAGAAAAAUUGAUUUUAAGGCCAGACAUCUCUUCGAAACAUAGCAGAAGAAAUUUAAGGUUAGCGAGGCACCGAUCAUUGUUUUGUACAAGAAUGAUAGUAUCGUCCACAUAUUGAAGGUGAGAAAGACCCGCAUGGAGAAUGUUAGAGCACACGGGAAGGGUGUGGCCCGCAACCGUGACCUGAUUCAGAAUGCAGGAGAAAGCAUCGGCUACAAAAUUAAAUUGAAGAGGGGAAAUGGGAUCACGUGUGUUAGAGCAUAUUUCUCCAUAUGUGGUUUUGGUAAUUGAUGACAAUCCCUAUGGACUAAUGGUUGCCUUAAGUUAUAUUCGAAGGAUUUGUCCAUAGGAACUUCUUGAAGUCCAUCUGUUGGUUUCAAGGAGUUUAUAUGAUCACCAAGGUGGUAUUCAAAGUAUUAUCCAAAGAUUGGUCAUAAAGACACAAGGUUGAUGAAGACUAAGCAGAGAGUAAAUCAAGAUUAUCAACACAAAAAGUGUACAAGAUGUACUGAGAGGGAUCAAGUGAUCCCAUGGUAUGGUAAGCAUUGCCAUAACACUUUUGUGUACUAACCCAUGGUCUUCGUGAGAGUUCUACGUGGGGUUAGGUGUGUUUCCAUGGGUUUGCGUCAAGAGGAAGAUCUCAUUCAACCUAUGAAGGAUGACAUCAAGUGGUGACCGUCAUCAAGAUUGCGACGCGCAAGUUCAAGUGGAGCAUCACGAAGAUAUCAUGCUUGAAGCUUGCCGUCCAUUGUGGUGGCAAUGGACUUGUGAAGAUGUGCUGAAGAGUGGCUCACCCAUAGUGAGUAUGGGGGAGCAAUCAACUAGUCUUCAUCAAACCAACGCAAUCAAGAAAGGUGGGCCACCUCGAGGAAGCCAAGAUCAUCAUCAUCUAGCUCAAGAGGACUAGUUGCAAGUUAUUGGUUUGCCCUUGAUAGGUUUUUCUAUUGUAGGAUAGUUUGUCGUACUACCAAGGGGGGCUCUCAAGUGAGUAGCUUGAUCAUAUUAUUCGUUGAGAGCUCAAACCAUUUGCAUCCUUGCAUCAUCUUUCUUGGUUCUUGUUUGGUGUUUCUCUUUGUAAGUUUUAGAGCUUAUGGUCAUUUUCGUGACAAGCUCGAGUAAAUCGAAAAUGGAGUCCAUAUGCAUCUUCUAUGAUGUUUUCGAUGUUGGAAGUUUUUGUCGGUUCUUCAUUCAUAGAGGUCUCAUAUCUAUAUAUCAUUGGCAUUUUCACAACUGCAUAUUCUCAAGAUUUUGGAUAGCUCUUGUCGUUCUAAAUCCAACAAGCUUGAGUUUGCUCGAUUCAGAGCUCGUAUGCGAAAGUUAUGGCAGUUUCAGUGGCCAGCGGUAGUACCGCUCUUGGAGCGGUAGUAGUUUUUUACUGCCACUCUGUGGCGGUAGUACCAUCUGGUACUACCGUGUCGUCGGACUUUUGCACAAGUGCAGCCUCAUAGGUGGCAGGCAUAGAAGUAAUUUUUUUACUACCGUGGUUGGUGAACCUACUGUGCGGUAGUACCGCUCCUAGCAGUGGUAGUACCUCUCUUCUCGGGCUGUGAGUGGGGGUAAUGGUCGGAUUCUUUCCCCCACUAUAUAAAGGGGGUCUUCUUCCCCUUUGGAUCUAAUCCAUCCGCUGAGCUCGUGUUCUUCCCACAUUGUUGACCUUCUUAGAGCUUGCUAACUCUCAAUCCCUACAAUGAUUCUUGCUAGUUCUUGAGGGAAAAGAGAGAGGAGAUCUAGAUCCACAUCUCCACCAAUCACUUUCUCCUCUAUGUGAGGGGAACACCUUGGAUCUUGACCUUGGAGUUCUUUAUGAGCUCCUUGUUCUUCCUCUCACAUUUCUCCAUAGCUUUUGUUGUUGUGGAGGGAUUUGAGUGUGAGGGACCUGACCACUUCUUGUGUUUUUGCCAUUGCAUUAGUUGCAUCUUUGAGUUCUCCAUGGUGAUACGUGGAAGUGAGAAGUUGAGAAGCUUAUUACCCCUUGGGUACUUGGUACCCCUAGAGAUUGUUAUUCGUGGAUUCUUUGGCAUCCUAGAAGCUUGGUGGUGCCUCGGAGCUCAACCAUUGUGGUGUAAAGCUCCGGGCAAGCAUCGGGGUCUCCAAUUAAGUUGUGGAGAUUGCCCCGAGCAUUUGUGGUCACCUCGAAGCCAUAUGCCAUUGUGGUGAAGCUUCGUGGUGUUGUUGGGAGCCUCCAAUUAAGUUGUGGAGAUUGCCCCAACCUUGUUUAUACGGGUUCGGUGACCCCCUCAAGGGUCCCUUAGUGGAAUCAUGGCAUCUUGCGUUGUGUGAGGGCAUGAUGAGAUUACAGUGGCCUUAGUGGCAUCCUGGGGAGCAUUGUGCCUCCACACCGCUCCAAACGGAGAUUAGCAUCCGCAAGGGUGUGAACUUCGGGAUACAUCAUCGUCUCUGCGUGCCUCAGUUAUCUCUUACCCGAACCCUUUACUUAUGCACUUUACUUUGUGAUAGCCAUAUUGUUUCUUGCUAUAUAUCUCGCUAUCACUUAUUUGUUUAUCUUGCUUAGCAUAAGUUGUUGGUGCACAUAGGUGGGCCUAGUUGUUUUAGGUUUUGUGCUUGACAAAUUAAACGUUAGUUUUAUUCCGCAUUUAUUCAAGCCUAAACUUUAAUUAUUUUAAAGCGCCUAUUCACCCCCCCUCUAGGAGACAUCCACGUCCUUUCACCCUGUCUAAGGCCUCGACCAUUCUUAAAGUAGGGACAGAUUGUGCCAUUAACCGAACUAGCAGUGUCUUCCCUCACACACACAAGCCGCAUGGUAUGGUGAACAUAGGUACUAUCAAAGCCCUUAGCAAGGAGUAUAUAACGGAGAAAGGACCAACUAACUAAAUUUUGCGCUUUUUAAAGUCCAGCUUCAGCACAACCGCACUUCAACAAUUAGAAUUAAGGUCAUGAAGAACUUCAUGCAGGUUGAGGAAUGCAUCUAAGAUAAAAACAACCUUUGAUGAAGGGAGGCUGAUGUUGACCAAGGAUCUUAUGAGCAACAGGAGACAGACGGGUUGGAAAACCCUUAGAAGAGAACUUGGCAAUAUUGUUAAUAAGGGCAAUAGGUCUAAACAGCUUGAUGGAAUCAAGCUGUUUCACCUUGGGGAGGAGAUAAAUGAUGGCAUAGUUCAAUCUAGAGAUGUAUAGCGUACCCAAGCACAAGCCAGUGAUGAUAGCUUGAACAAGGAAUUUGGGGACCGGGCAGAAUUUCUUGAAGGAAGGGGCAGAAAACCCAUCAGGCCCAAGAGUGGAAUUGGAUCUAGACGAAAAGACCACCAAGUCAAUUUCAUCAUGAGAGAGAGGAAUCAAAAGCAUUAUAUUGUCAUCCACAAAGACGCUAUCAUACACCGCCCACAAAUCAUGAGAGAAACGCACAUCAGCCGGACACUUAGCCCCAAGAAGAUUAGAAACAAUGAAAAAAUGUGGUGCUUGAUGAUCCCAGGGUCGGCGACCACCUCCUCAUUGAUACAAAGCCUGAGAAUGGAACACCUAUGCCAGCCAUUGGCAAUAGCAAAGAAGUAGGCCAUAAUUGAGUCCCCCUUAAGCAACCAGGAAAGGAUACCACGUUGCUGCCAGUACAUAUCUUCCUUCUUAAGCAAGCAAAGACGAGAAUCUUCAAGCUCAUAUCUAUGGGACCAUCCACCCACAUCCAGGCCUACCGAAUCAACAGUAGCAUCGACCUCCUUAAUCAAAGAUAGAAUCCUACCCUUCUCCUUACGAGCUUCCGAGGCACGAUUCCAACUCCACCCCUCUAAGAAUCGCCUGAGGUUAGAGGACAAGAAAUGGAAAUCAUCUAUAGGACCAAAAGAAUGAUGCAAAGAACCAAACAAACCCAAAAUCUUAUCAGAGACCAACUGAGGGAAGCCCUCAAUAAGUAGCCAUGAGGUAUCAAACCUGAAAGGGCGGGGAAAAAUCAGAGAGGCCAACCCCGAGUCAAGGAGGAGAGGAGUAUGAUCACUGCCAAUGGAAGGCUCCACAACGAGCAAAGAACAAUGAAAAAGAACAUCCAAGUCGGGGGAAGCAAACACCCUAUCAAAAACUGAAUGCACCGGGUCUAACUGGUGGUUAGACCAAGUAAAACUAGCCCCAGAUCUUGUNNNNNNNNNNNNNNNNNNNNNNNNNNNNNNNNNNNNNNNNNNNNNNNNNNNNNNNNNNNNNNNNNNNNNNNNNNNNNNNNNNNNNNNNNNNNNNNNNNNNGUCCGGAGGUAAAGAUUGAUAUAUAGGACGGAUGGUUUCGGACACCGGAAGUGUUUCGGGCGUCACCGGUAACGUACCGGGACCACCGGAGGUGGCCCCGAGGGUCCACCGGAAGGGGGCAAUGAUCCCGGGAGGCUAGAUGGGCCAAGUGCAGGAGGGAACCAGCCCCUAGGUAGGCUGGUGCGCCCCCCCCCCCACUCAGCCCAUGGCGCAAGAAGAAGGGAGAGGGGGAACCCUAGCGCAGGUGGGCCUAAGGCCCACCAGAAGGGUGCGCCACCCCUCCUCCCCCCUUGGCCGCCGCACCUCCCCCUAUCUAGGGUUGCCGCCCCUCCCAGGAGAGGGAAACCCUCAAGGGGGUGCAGCCCCUCCCCCCCCCUAUAUAUAGUGGGCACUUUUGGGCUUUUGGAGACACAUUUUUCCCUCUCCCUCGGCGCAGCCCUGCUCUUCCUUCUCCUCCUCUCUACCGGUGCUUGGCGAAUCCCUGCCGGGAGACCUCGUCUCUCCAUCGACACCAUGCCGUCGUGUUGCUGGAGAUCUUCCCCAACCUCUCCCUCCUCCUUGCUGGAUCAAGGUGCGGGAGACGUCACCGGGUUGCACGUGUGUUGAACGCGGAGGUGCCGUAGUUCGGCACUAGAUCGGAAUCACACCGCGAUCUGAAUCGUCGCGAGUACGACUCCAUGAACCGCGUUCUAGUAACGCUUCUGCUUAGCGAUCUUCAAAGGUAUGAAGAUGCACUCACCCCUCUCUCAUUGCUGGUCUCUCCAUAGGAAGAUCUGAAUAUGCGUAGGAAUUUUUUUGAAUUUAUGCUACGUUUCCCAACAGAUCUAUGAAGCUCAUGCAAUGCAAAACGAGUCACAAAAUUAUUCAAAAUUUCAGCCCUAGACCAAGAAAAAAUAGAGUUGUUUUUGUCUCGAGGAAACCUAAGAAGGUUAAAGUCUCCACCCAACAAAAAGGGCACACACGCGACAUCCAAUUUGAGAGACAAUUCAAGCAAGAAGGUGCGAUAUAUAUAUAUAUAUAUAUNNNNNNNNNNNNNNNNNNNNNNNNNNNNNNNNNNNNNNNNNNNNNNNNNNNNNNNNNNNNNNNNNNNNNNNNNNNNNNNNNNNNNNNNNNNNNNNNNNNNCAAACGCUACUCCGUGACUGGGUAGUUACAAAGGUAGGUUUCGGGCUUGUCCAAACCCAUCCUGCGAGACGUGGUUGAGCAAGAUGGGAUUUGCCCCUCCGACCAGGAGAGAUAUACUCUGGGCCCCUCGGGUGAUCUGACCUCGAUAAGCAUGACUAUGCGAUGAGGCUUAUGAGAUAAUACAAAUGUUGGUGAGAUUCACCGAAACGAGAAAGAGGUUGUGCGACAACAAGGAUGACCAUGUCGCCUUGAGCAUGACAACGUAUAACGUGUGGCAAAGGGAACAAAAGUAUGAAGUACAGGUUCGCCUAACCAGCUUCUUCGGACACUUGGAGAUGACACGCCUUGCUAGAGGCCGCUACCGACAAGCCAAGUCAGACGUGGUCUGACUCGCGACCAAGUGAACAAGAACCUAAGGGGUCGCGAGCUUAAAGUAAGGAACACGUGGGAUUUAGGGUCCGUGCGAGGCCCAAGAGUUCGGCCUGCGCCGGGCGCCUAUAUAUAGUGGACAUGCGACACUCUUAUUGAGAUGAUUACUUCGUCGCCGUCAUUAGGGUUGUGCAUGUGUUGCACCUAGCCACCUCCACUCGCCACCGCCAACUGUGUGAUCCAGACCUAGCAGUCCGCCGCACAGUGUCUCUCUUGCGCGCGUGGAUACAGUUAGAGGCGCUGCAACGCCACUCCAAUGAACCUGUACGUGGGAUCCGGCGACUGAUGACUGAUACGUCUCAAACGUAUGUAUAAUUUUUGAUGGUUUUGAUGCUAUUAUCUUGUCAUCUUUGGAUGUUUUGUUUACCUUUUAUAUCUUUUUUGGGACUAACUUAUUAAUUCAGUGCCAAGUGUCAGUUCCUGUUUUUUCUGCGUUUUUGGCUCUUUUCAGAUCUGAUUUUGGAACGGAGUCCAAACGGAANNNNNNNNNNUUUUUUCCAGAACGGAAGAAGAUCAGUGGGCUUGAGGGCCAAGGCAGGAGAGCUACAGGGGGCCCACAAGCCCUGUAGCCGCCACCAGGGGGCGGCGGCUAUUAAGCUUGUGGCCUCCCUCGCGCCCCCUGACCUAGCUCCUUCACCUAUAUAUUCCCUAAAAUACAGAAAAGUAGGGGAAUCCACGAAAACACUUUUCCGCCGCCGCAAGCUUCCGUUUCCACAAGAUCUCAUCUGGAGACCCUUCCCGGUGCCCUGCCUGAGGGGACUUUGGAGUUGGAGGCUUUAUACAUCAAUAUCAUCGCCCCUCCAAUGACUCGUGAGUAGUUCACUUCAGACCUACGGNNNNNNNNNNNNNNNNNNNNNNNNNNNNNNNNNNNNNNNNNNNNNNNNNNNNNNNNNNNNNNNNNNNNNNNNNNNNNNNNNNNNNNNNNNNNNNNNNNNNCUCUAUUAUUCAGUAUAUGUGUUCAGUGAACAUUGAUCCUUGGGGUCACUGCGCAUGGCGAACUCGAUUUGCUAGUCGGGGUCCCCACAAACACCUACACCCCCUGAGCAAAUUAGAGUUGAACCUAGCAUUGCUAUUAUCAAAGAUCUUCUGUCCGACGAUGUUGAGGGACUUAAUAUUCACUUCUAUGAAGAUGCUGGUAGAAUUGCUAAACCUCACGUUAGAGACAAACAUAGGCUUGUUGUUGGCAUGCGUGUGGUUUCUGUUAGGAUAGGAGAUCAUUGUUAUCAUGGUUUAUGUGACGUGGGUGCUAGUGUUAGUGCAAUACCUCAAUCCUUAUACGAUAAAAUCAAAGAUGAGAUUGCACCUGUUGAGAUAGAGCCUAUUGAUGUCACUAUUCAGCUUGCCAAUAGAGAUACUAUCUGCCCUGUGGGAAUUGUUAGGGAUGUUGAAGUCUUGUGUGGUAAAAUGAAGUAUCCUGUUGAUUUCCUCAUAUUUGGUAGACCCUUUCUCAAUACUGUCAAUGCUCAUAUUGAUUGUGAGAACCAAACUGUCACUGUUGGCUUUGAAGGUGUGUCACAUGAGUUCAAUUUCUCUAAGUUUGGUAGACAACCUCAUGAAAAGGAGUUUCCUAGUAGGGAUGAAACUAUUGCAUUAGCUUCUAUUGUCGUGCCUCCUACGGAUCCCUUAGAGCAAUACUUGCUUGAGCAUGAAAAUGAUAUGCAUAUGGAUGAAAGGGAUGAGAUAGAUAGAGUUAUCUUAGAACAAUAUCCUAUCCUUAAGAAUAACUUGAAUGUUGAACUGCUGGGGAUCCAUCCCCACCAAAGGGUGAUCCUAUGUUCGAGCUUAAACAGUUGCCUGAUACUCUUAAGUAUGCCUACCUUGAUGAAAAAGAGAUAUAUCCUGUUAUUAUUAGUGCUAGCCUCUCAGAGCAUGAAGAAAAGAAGUUACUAAAAACUCUGAGGAAGCACCGUGUUGCUAUAGGAUAUACUCUUCAUGAUCUUAAGGGCAUUAGUCCCACUCUAUGCCAGCACAAGAUUAAAACUGAUCCUGACUUCAAACCAGUUGUUGAUCAUCAAAGGAGAUUGAAUACUAAGAUGAAAGAAGUAGUGAGAAAAGAAAUACUAAAGCUCCUGGAAGCGGGUAUUAUCUAUCUUGUUGCUCAUAGCGAUUGGGUGAGUCCGGUGCAUUGCGUCCCUAAGAAGGGAGGCAUUACCGUUGUCCCUAAUGAUAAGGAUGAAUUGAUCCCACAGAGGAUUACUGGCUAUAGGAUGGUGAUCGAUUUUAGGAAAUUGAAUAAAGCCACUAGGAAAGAUCAUUACCCUUUGCCUUUUAUCGACCAAAUGCUAGAAAGGCUGUCUAAACACACACACUUCUGCUUUCUAGACGGCUAUUCUGGUUUCGCCCAAAUACCAUUUGCACAAUCUGAUCAGGAGAAAACCACUUUCACCUGCCCUUUCGGUACCUUUGCUUAUAGACGUAUGCCUUUUGGCUUAUGUAAUGCACCUGCCACCUUUCAAAGAUGUAUGAUGGCUAUAUUCUCUGAAUUUUGUGAAAAAGAUUGUUUAGGUUUUCAUGGAUGACUUCUCCGUUUACGGGUCUUCCUUUGAUGAUUGCCUCAGCAACCUUGAUCGAGUUUUACAGAGAUGUAAAGACACCAAUCUUGCCUUGAAUUCGGAGAAGUGCCACUUUAUGGUUAAUGAAGGCAUCGUCUUAGGACAUAAAAUUUCUGAAAGAGGUAUUGAAGUCGAUAAGGCUAAGGUUGAUGCAAUCGAGAAAAUGUCGUACCCCACAGAUAUCGAAGGUAUAAGAAGUUUCCUUGGUCAUGCUAGUUUCUAGAGAAGGUUCAUUAAAGACUUCUCUAAGAUUUCUAGGCCUCUUACAAAUCUCUUGCAAAAGGAUAUUCCUUUUGUCUUUGAUGAUGAUUGUGAGGAAGCCUUCGAAAUACUUAAGAGGGCUUUGAUAACUGCACCUAUUGUUCAACCACCUGAUGGGAACUUACCUUUUGAGAUCAUGUGUGAUGCUAGUGAUUAUGUUGUUGGUGCUGUUCUAGGGCAAAGAGUCGAUAAGAAGUUGAAUGUUAUUCACUACACUAGUAAAACUCUAGACAGUGCCCAGAGAAACUAUGCUACUGCGGAGAAGGAAUUUUUAGCAGUCGUGUUUGCCCGUGAAAAGUUCAGGUCUUACAUAGUUGAUUCCAAAGUCACUUUUCACACUAAUCAUGCUGCUAUUAAGUACCUCAUGGAGAAGAAAGACGCUAAACCUAGACUUAUCAGAUGGGUUCUCUUGCUACAAGAGUUUGAUUUGCACGUUCUCGACAGAAAGGGUGCUGAUAACCCAGUAGCAGAUAACUUGUCUAGGUUGGAGAACGUUCUUGAUGACCCACAACCUAUUGAUGAUAGCUUUAGAAAGUCGUAUGCUUUGGAAGAAGCUUGUACAGUUUGGGAAGGGGUUUUUUGAGAGAAAAGAAGAAUCUACUUCAACCGAUAUGCCCUUAGGCACGGCCAUGCAUAACAUAGAAAUCACACGUGGAAGGGGUGGGCAAUUAGCUAGAGCAGCAGGUGCUGUAGCGAAACUCAUUGCAAAAGAGGGUAAAUCGUCCCUAUGAGCAAUUGAAUGUCAUCAAUGCUUCACGUAGUGCAUCGUGGUAUGCUGAUUAUACAAACUAUAUUGUUGCCAAAUAUAUACCACCUAGUUUCACGUACCAGCAAAAGAAGAAAUUCUUCUUUGACUUGAGACAUUACUUCUGGGAUGAUCCUCACAUUUAUAAGGAAGGAGUAGAUGGUGUUAUUAGACGUGUACCUGAACAUGAACAUGGACAAAUCCUACAGAAGUGUCACUCCGAGGCCUACGGAGGACACCAUGCGGGAGAUAGAACUGCACACAAGGUAUUGCAAUCAGGAUUCUAUUGGCCCACUCUCUUCAAGGAUGCCCAUAAGUUUGUCUUGUCUUGUGAUGAAUGUCAAAGAAUAGGUAAUAUCAGUAAACGCCAGGAAAUGCCUAUGAACUAUUCACUUGUCAUUGAACCAUUUGAUGUCUGGGGCUUUGAUUAUAUGGGACCUUUUCCAAAAUCCAACGGGUAUACUCAUAUCGUAGUUGUUGUUGAUUAUGUCACUAAGUGGGUAGAAGCUAUCCCCACUAGUAGUGCUGAUCACAACACCUCUAUCAGGAUGCUGAAAGAAGUUAUCUUCCCUAGAUUUGGAGUCCCUAGAUAUCUAAUGACCGAUGAUGGUUCACACUUCAUUCAUGGUGCUUUCCGUAAAACGCUUGCUAAGUAUGAUGUCAACCAUAGAAUUGCGACUCCCUAUCACCCUCAGUCCAGUGGUCAAGUAGAGCUAAGUAAUAGAGAGAUUAAACUGAUUCUGCAAAAGACAGUCAACAGGUCUAGAAAGAAUUGGUCUAAGAAGCUCGAUGAUGCACUGUGGGCUUAUAGAACUGCCUAUAAGAAUCCCAUGGGCAUGUCUCCGUACAAAAUGGUGUACGGUAAAGCAUGUCAUUUACCUCUUGAGCUAGAGCAUAAAGGUUAUUGGGCAAUCAAAGAGCUCAACUUUGAUUUCAAACUUGCCGGUGAGAAGAGGUUAUUUGAUAUUAGCUCGCUUGAUGAAUGGAGUACUCAGGCAUAUGAGAAUGCCAAGUUGUUCAAAGAGAAGGUUAAGAGGUGGCAUGAUAAGAGGAUAAAAAAGCGUGAGUUCAAUGUAGGUGAUUAUGUCUUGCUAUAUAACUCUCGUUUAAGAUUCUUUGCAUACAAGCUUCUCUCUAAAUGGGAAGGUCCCUAUGUUGUUGAGGAAGUAUAUCGUUCCGGUAAUAUCAAGAUCAACAACACGAAAGGUAAUUGUCCGAGAGUUGUAAAUGGGCACAGAAUCAAGCAUUAUAUCUCAGGUACUCCCAUAAAUGUUGAAAGCAAUAUCAUCAAUACUGUUUCAGAUUCCGAAAACGAAGAGGUAUGUGAUUCGAUAAGAAAGCAGAGUCCAAAACUUUUCCGGUAGGAAUUUUUCUCCGUUUUGGAAUAUUUGAAAAAAUACAAAAAUUGGAAGUAAUCCGGAAAGUGCGCGAGGAGGCGACAAGCCUGCACGACGCGGGCCCACCCCCUGGCCGUGCCAUGAGGGCUUGUGGCCACCUCGUGCGCCUCCCGGACUCCUUUUUCGUGCGGGGUACUCCUUCUGGUCUGAAAAAAUCAUUAUAUAUACUCCCGUUUGGUCUGACCCCUGCAUCACGCAGAUUUCCUCUGUUUUUCGUUUCGAGCCUGUUUUCUGCCGCUGAUCUAGGUCAAGAUGUUUUCUCAGAUUUAGAGGGGGAGAGCUAUGUGGCUGAUUACCUUGCUAAUCCCAAGGUCAAUGGGGACGUGGAUCCUUAUGGCUGGACCACUGAUGAGGAAGAAGAUUAUGAUCCGAAGGGGAAGGAACAAACAAGUUCCGAUGAAGAGGAGGCUCCUCUACCUCAACCUGGACACACUCAUGUGGAGUUCAAGAAGUCGAUCCUCCCUGACUCAAGGAAGAAGCCUAAGACCUUGUUAACCCUUCUUGUUUCUUGCAGGAGAGUAAGAAGGAAUUAUGCCAAAGGGUGUUGAAGCUUGAAGAGGAAAAUGAUGAUCUGAGGGAGCAGAAUUUUAUGCUCAAGUGGAAAUUAAACAAACUCAAGACCUCUUCAACAACUCCUCCACCUUCACCACCAAAGGAAGACAACUCAGCAUUGGUAUGGGCAAUCCCCUUGGCUUGUGCCAAGCUUGGGGGAGUUGCCUCGGUAUCGUAUCACCAUCACAUCUUUUGCCUUUAACUUUGUUUUAGUUUUCCUUUUCAGUUUUCUCUUUCUCUAAUAGUUUAAAAGUCUUAGUGUUUUAGUCUUGAGUUUUGCUUUAUGUCACCCCCGAUGUAUUCGAGCUCGUGAGCCAUAUAAUAAAGAGUGUCUUAGUUGAAGGGCUUUGCCUCUUGCCAUGAUUAAAAGAGUGAGAAUAGAACAAAAGCAUGAAAGAUCAUGUAAUGAUCUUAUGGGAAGUGAUGGCUUCACAUAUAAAAAGAAUGAGGAUUGAAACUUGUUGAGGGUAGGAAAACGUAGACCUUGGUCAUUGUUGCGAUUAAUAGGAAGUGAUAAAGAAGGAGAGGUUCACAUAUAAAUAUAUCAUCUCUGACACCAUCUAUGAUUGUGAACACUCACUAAACUAUUGCAUGCCUAGAAGUAGAUGUUGGACAAGGAAGACAAUGUAAUGAAUUGUGUUUGCUUGGCUCUGAAGAAUGUUAUAUGAUUAGAGAUCCCUUAGCAUGUGACGAUUGCUUCCACCUCACAUUAGCCAAACCUCCCGCACCAAGUAGAGAUGCUACUUGUGCAUCCAUAAACCUUCAAACCAGUUUUGCCAUGAGUGUCCACCAUACCUACCUAUGGAUUGAAUAAGAUCCCUCAAGUAAGUUGUCAUCGGUGCAACAAUAAAAAUUGUUGUCUAAUAUGUAUGAUCUAUUAGUGUGUGGAAAAUAAGAUUUAUACGAACCUGUGAUGAGGAAGACAUAAAAGCGACAGACUGCAUAAUAAAGUUCUUUAUCACAGGAGGCAAUAUAAAGUGAUGUUCCUCCGCACUAAGAGGACACGCAUCCAAACCUCAAAAGCGCAUGACAACCUCUGCUUCCCUCUGCGAACGGCCUAUCUUGUACCUUUACUUUUUGCCCUUGAAAGAGUCAUGGUGAUCUUCACCAAUUCCUUAUUUUGCCUUUAUCUUGGCUAACAUCAUAUGCUUGGGAAAGAUCUAUAUUCAUAUGUCAACUUGGAGGUAGGCAUUCAUGAAUUAUUACUGUUGACAUUACCCUUGAGGUAAGCAGUUGGGAGGCAAAACUGUAAGCCCCUAUCUUUCUUUGUGUCUAGCUGAAACUUUGAUCUCAUGAGUACCACGUGAGUUGUAGCAAUUGUAGAGAACGAAAGAAUGAUUGAGUAUGUGGAUUUGCUUUACAAGCUCUUAUUUGACUCUUUCUGAUGUUGUGAUAAAUUGCAAUUGCUUCAAUGACUAAAGGCUAUCGGUUGUUACUUCUCGAUAAGGUUCUUGAUCCAUGUUUUACUUUGUGAAGGAAUUAUCACUUUAGCAUGAGAGAUUAUAUGUUGGUAUUGCUGUUCUGAUCUUGAUCAUGAUGCAUGCAUGUUCGUAUCUUGUUUUGUCGACACCUCUCUCCCUAAACAUGUGGACAUAUUUAUUGAGCUAGGCUUUCGCUUGAGGACAAGCGAGGUCUAAGCUUGGGGGAGUUGAUACGUCCAUUUUGCAUCAUGUUUUCAUGUUGACAUUUAUCGCUUCUUGGGCUGUUAUUUCACUUCACGGUACAAUUCUUAUGCCUUUUCUCUCUUAUUUUGCAAGGUUUACAUGAAGAGGGAGAAUGUCGGCAACUGGAAUUCUGGCUUGAAAGUGGAGCAAAGUUGAGAUACCUAUUCUGCGCAACUCCAAACGCCGUAAAAAUCAACGAGGAUUUUUUCCGGAUUUAUAAAAAAUACUGGGCCGAAGAAGUGCCAGAGGGGCGCGUGCAGGUGGCCACAAGCGUGCACGGCGCGACCAUCCCCCCCCUAGGGCGCGCCAUGAGGGCUUAUGGGCAGCCUGCUGGCCCACUUGCCCCCCUCUUCUGUUAUAUGAAGGGUUUCGUCUGGAAAAAAAUCAAGGAGGAUCUUUUUCGUGGUUUCGCCGCCGCCACGAGGCGGAACUUGAGCAGAACCAAUCUAGAGCUCCGGCACGACGAUCCUGCCGGGGACACUUCCCUCGCGGAGGGGGAAAUCGUCGCCAUCGUCAUCACCAACACUCCUCUCAUCAGAGGGGACUCAUCACCAUCAACAUCUUCAUCAGCACCAUCUCAUCUCCAAACCCUAGUUCAUCACUUGUAACCAAUCUCCAUCUAGCGACUCCGAUUGGUACUUGUAAGGUUGCUAGUAGUGUUGAUUAUUAUUUGUAGUUGAUGCUAGUUGGAUUACUUGGUGGAAGAGUUGAUGUUCAGAUCCUUGAUGCUAAUCAUUACCUCUCUGGUCAUGAUUAUGAUUAUGCUUUGUGAGUAGUUACUUUUGUUCCUGAGGACAUGGGAUAAGUCAUGCUAAUAGUAGUCAUGUGAAUUUGGUAUUCGUUCGGUAUUUUGAUGUGUUGUAUGUUGUUUUUCCUCAAGUGUUGUUAUGUGAACGUCGACUACAUAACACUUCACCAUUAUUUGGGCCUAGAGGAAGGCAUUGGGAAGUAGUAAGUAGAUGACGGGUUGCUGACGGGUUGAGGCAACAAAAGACCUUCCAACGGCGCCAGAAACACGUGCUGAUGGGAGACUAUUCUUGUCUUGAUACUCCUCAGCAAUGGCACCAGGAAUCCUUCUGCUACGUCUACGCCUUUAGGGACUUCCUUGGCAAAUAUGCAAAGGAUUCCCCCGUCGCCUUAGAGCCUUGCGUUGGUGUUCCCUCGAAGCGGAAAGGGUGAUGUAGCACACCGGCGGUAAGUAUUUUCCUCAGUUUUGAGAACCAAGGUAUCGAUCUAGUGAAGGAUUAUCACAUGUACCUGCACAAACACAAAGAGCUUGCACCCAACGCUAUGAAGGGGUUGUCAAUCCCUUAUAGAUUGUUUGCCAAGUGAGAACUGAAAGCAACAAAGUAACAAAGCAAAGUAAAAGCAAAAGUGGAAACGAUAGGUGCGAAUAGACCCGGGGGCCGUAGUGUUCACUAGUGGCUUCUCUCAUGAAAGCAAGUAGACGGUGGGUGAACGAAUUACUGUCGAGCAAUUGAUAGAACUGCGCAAAGUCGUGACAUUAUCUAUGGCAAUGAUUAUAUCUAUAGGCAUCACGUCCAAAACAAGUAGACCGAUACUUUCUGCAUAAACUACUAUUACUCCACACGUAGACCGCUAUCCAGCAUGCAUCUAGUGUAUUAAGUCCAAAAGAAUAGAGUAACGCCUUAAGCAAGAUGACAUGAUGUAGAUGGACAAUCUCAUAUCUACGAUAAAAGCCCAUCUUGUUACCCUUGAUGCCAACAACACGAUGCAUGCCUUGCUGCCCUUCUGUCACUGGGAAAGGUCACCACACGGUAUGAACCCAAAACCAAGCACUUCUCCCAUUGCAAGAAUCAUAGAACUAGUUGGCCAAACAAAACCCAAGACUCGGAGAGACUUACAAGGAUAUCAAAUCAUGCAUAUAAGAAAUCAGCAAAGACUCAAAUAUAUAUCAUAGAUAAUCUGAUCACAAAUACACAAUUCAUCGGAUCUCAACAAACACACCGCCAAAGAGGAUUACAUCGGAUAGAUCUCCAUGAAGAUCAUGGAGAACUUUGUAUUGAAGAUCCAAGAGAGAGAAGAAGCCAUCUAGCUACUAACUACGGACCCGUAGGUCUGAAGUGAACUACUCACGAGUCAUUGGAGGGGCGAUGAUAUUGAUGUAUAAAGCCUCCAACUCCAAAGUCCCCUCAGGCAGGGCACCGGGAAGGGUCUCCAGAUGAGAUCUUGUGGAAACGGAAGCUUGCGGCGGCGGAAAAGUGUUUUCGUGGAUUCCCCUACUUUUCUGUAUUUUAGGGAAUAUAUAGGUGAAGGAGCUAGGUCAGGGGGCGCGAGGGAGGCCACAAGCUUAAUAGCCGCCGCCCCCUGGUGGCGGCUACAGGGCUUGUGGGCCCCCUGUAGCUCUCCUGCCUUGGCCCUCAAGCCCACUGAUCUUCUUCCGUUCUGGAAAAAAUUAUUUCGGGGAUUUUAUUCCGUUUGGACUCCGUUCCAAAAUCAGAUCUGAAAAGAGCCAAAAACACAGAAAAAACAGGCACUGGCACUGAAUUAAUAAGUUAAUCCCAAAAAAGAUAUAAAAGGUAAACAAAACAUCCAAAGAUGACAAGAUAACAGCAUGAAACCAUCAAAAAUUAUAGAUACGUUUGAGACGUAUCAAGCAUCCCCAAGCUUAACUCUUGCUCGUCCUCGAAUAGGGAAGUGAUAAAGAAUGAAUUUUUAAUGCUUUCAUGCUACCUAGCAUAGAUGUCCUUUGUAACUCCUCUUAUGUGACGUGAAUGUUCAGAUCCAUUAGAUUCAAAACAAUAGUUUGCUAUUGACGUGGAAACAGUAAUACUUCAAGCAAACUAGCAAGGUAAUCAUAAACUUUCAAAAUAACAAGGCCAAAAGAAAGUUAUCCCUACAAAAGCAUAUAGUCUGGCUAUGCUCUAUCAUCAUUGCACAACGAAUUUAUAUCAUGUGCACAACCCCGGUAUUGGCCAAGUAAUUGUUUUCACACCUUUACUUUCUUAAAUCUUUUCAACUCUCACGCAAUACAUGAGCGUGAGCCAUGGUUUUAGCACUAUAAGUGCUAUGGAGUGUGGUGGAGGUUGCAAGACAAACAAGGAGAAGAUGAUCACAUUAACUAGGCAUAUCAAUGAGCUGUGGAGAUUCUCAUCAAUAGAUAUCAAUGUGAAUGAGUAGGGAUUGCCAUACAAAUGAUGCACUAGAGCUAAGAGUAUGUUAAAGAUCUUAAAGAAAACUAGUGGGUGUGCAUCCAACUCGCUUGCUCACGAAGACCUAAGGCAAAUUUGAGGAAGCCUAUCAUUGGAAUAUACAAGCCAAGUUAUAUAAUGAAAAUUUCCCACUAGCUAUAUGGUGGUGACAACACGAGAGACUCAAUCAUGAAGAUCAUGGUGCUUAAUAAGCACAAGUGUGGAAGGAUAGUAGCAUUGUCCCUUCUCUCUUUUUCUCUCAUCAUUUUUUUGGUGGGCUCUUUGGCCUCUUUUUUAAUUUUUUUAUUUUAUUUUUUAUUUUGGUGGGCAUCUUCAGCCUCUUUUGUAUAUGGGCUUGGCUGGCCUCUUUUAUUUCCUCACAUGGGACAAUGCUCCAUCAAUGAUGAUCAUCACACUUUCAACUCAAAACUUAGAGCAACGAUGACUCUAUAUGGAAUGCCUUCGGUAGUGUACCGUGACAAUGAUCUAGCAUGGCAUAGACAUUAAUGGAAACAUCAUGCUAGCUAUCUUACGAUCAUGCAAUGGCAACGUAGAAGUGGUGGCACAUGUCAUGGUGGUAGUUGCAUGGCAAUAUAUCUCGGAAUGACUUUGAAAAAGCCAUAGUAGAUAGGUAUGGUGGCCGUUUUGAGGGAGGCUAAUGGUGGGUUUUGUGCACUGGUGAAAGUUGCACGGCACUAAGAAGAUAGUGAUGGUGGAAGGUGAAAGUGCAUCUAAACCAUGGACUCAACAUUAGUCAUGAAGAACUCAUAUACUUGUUGCAAAAGGUUUAAUAGUAAUCGAAACAAAGCAUUCAACGCAUACUCCUAGGGGAAGGGUUUGUAGGUAUAAACCAUCGCGUGAUCCCGACCGCCAUACAAAGGAUGACAAUCAAUAGACUAAUCAUGCUCAGACUUCAUCACACAGCGGUUCACCAUACGUGCAUGCUACGGGAAUCACUAACUUCAACACAAGUAUUUCUAGAUCCACAACACCUUACUAGCAUAACUUCAAUAUUACCACAACCACAACUCAAAACUAAAUGAGAUGAAUCAAACUUCUCUAACUAAUCAAUGCACAUGAAGGUGGAAGUUUUCAUAUCCCUUUGGAUAACUACCCCUUUUGAGACUACUUUCAAAGCAUAGAUCAACUACCAAGCCACGCACCGCCGUUCUCUAAAAUAUAUAAGUGAAGCACAUAGAGCAAAAUCAACUAACUCAAAAGAUAUAAGUGAAGCACAUGUGAGCUGAAUAGUCUACCAAAGGAUAUAAGCGAAGCUCGACAAAAUCACGGUGAGUGCAUGUCUCUCUCUCUAGGUGUGCAGAAAGGAUGAUUGUGACACAACAAAAAUAAAAGACUCCCACGAUACAAGACGCUCCAAGCAAAACACAUAACAUGUGGUGAAUAAAAAUAUAGCCCCAAGUAACGUUACCGAUGGGUUGAAGACGAAAGAGGGGAUGCCUUCCCGGGGCAUCCCCAAGCUUAGGAUUUUACGGCAUCCUUGAAUCUCUUGGGGUUCCUUGGGCAUCCCCAAGCUUGAUCUCUUGCCACUCUUUAUCUCUUUGUCCAUAAGAACUUCACCCAAAACUUGAAAACUUCACAACACGAAACUUAAACAGAAACUCGUGAUAACAUUAGUAUAAGAAAGCAAACCACCACUUCCUUAGGUACUGUAGCAAACUUAAAUUCUACUUAUGUUGAUGUUGGGUUACUGUAUUUUCACUCUUUCAUGGCUAAUACCCCCGAUACUAUCCAUAGUUUCAUCAAAAUAAGCAACCAACUCAACAAAAACAGAAUCUGUUAACAGCAGACUAGUCUGUAGCAAUCUGUAUACUAUGUAUACUUAUGGUACUUAACAAAUUCUGAAAAAUUACGAAAGUCUGAAGAAUUUGCGUCGCAAUGAGCAGAAAAAAUAAUCAACUCAAAAUCUCUUACAUAAAAAAAAUGAAAAUUCGUUUCGUGAGCAGAAAGUUUCUGUCUUUUCCAGCAUGACCAAACGAUCAUCCCCAAGACUAAUCGUAACGGUUUUACUUGGCACAAACGCAAAAAGAAACACAAAAAACACAAUCAUAACAGAAUUAUGAAAGUGUGGAAAACACAAAACAGAAAGAAAAAGGAUAGAUUCGUUGGGUUGCCUCCCAACAAGCGCUUUUGUUUAACGCCCUUAGCUAGGCAAAAGGUGAUGGAAUCACGUAUAGUCAUCUUUGCUGUUCAAACCAUAAGUAACCCUCAUCAUAGAUUCAUAAGGCAAUCUUAUUUUCUUUCUAGGAAAGUGCUCCAUGCCCUUCUUUAGAGGAAAUUGAACUCUAAUAUUCCCUUCCUUCAUAUCGAUGAUAGCACCAAUAGUCCUUAGGAAAGGUCUACCAAGAAUAACGGGACAUGAAGGAUUGUAGUCUAUGUCAAGUACAAUGAAAUCCAUGGGUACAUAGUUCUUAUUUGCAAUAAUAAGAACAUCAUCGAUCCUUCCCAUGGGUUUCUUGACAGUAGAAUCCGCAAGAUGCAAAUUAAGAGAACACUCUUCAAUCUCAUGAAAACCAAGAAUAUCACAUAAAGACUUUGGAAUCGCGGAAACACUAGCACCCAAAUCACACAAAGCAUUACACUCAUAGGUUUUGAUUUUGAUUUUGAUAGUAGGUUCCCACUCAUCAUGAAUUUUUCUAGGUAUAGAGACUUCUAGUUCGAGCUUCUCUUCAAGAGAUUUCAUCAUAGCAUCUACGAUAUGCGCGGUAAAGGCUUAGCUUUGGCUAUAAGCAUGUGGAGAGUUUGCAAUGGAUUGCAUCAAAGAAAUGCAUUCAAACAAUGAGAAAUUAGCAUAAUUGAAUUCCUUGAAAUCCAAAGUGGGAGUUUCAUUACUACCCAAAAUUUUGAUUUCUUCUACUCCACUCUCCACACCCUUAUCAUCAAGAUGGGUGGACUCCGAAUCAUUGGGGCGUUUUUCGAGCAAAGUGGAUUCAUAUCCAGCCCCUUCAUCAAUAGGUUUGACACGCGAAAACAAAGAUUCAAUAGGAGUCACACCAAGCAUUUUAAGAUCUUCGUGAUUUGCAUCACUAGAACGCACCCUUUUAAACCAUUCAUGCCUAGCGCGAAUUUGGGCGGUUCUUUCUUUGCUCUCAUUCAUGGAGACGUGCAUAGAUUUUAAAGUUUCAUCCAAUUUGACCUUGGGAGGAGCACAUCUAACUUUCAAAGCAUCAAUAUCACAAGACAUCCUAUCAACGCUCUUAGCCAAAUCGUCUAUUUUGAGUAGUUUUUCCUCUAUGGACGCAUGGAAAAUCUUUUGAGAGUUGAUGAACUCUUUGAUAUUACUCUCUAAAUCAGAGGGUAAUUUGUUGUGAUUUCCAUAAGUGUUGUUGUAGGAAUUGCCAUAAUUGUUAUAGGAGUUACUAGGAAAAGGCCUAGGAACAUAGUGUCCUCUAAAAGCAUUGUUGUUGCCAAAAUUGUUCCUACCAACAAAAUUAACGUCCAAACUAGUGUUGCAACUCUCAAUCAAGGAAGAUGGUGGCAUGUCAUUAGGAUCUAAAGGAGCGUUUCUACUAUCAACAAAAUUCAUCAACUCGUCCAUCUUAGCACUAAGUGAGUUAAUUUCUUCUAUAACGUGUACCUUUUUGCUAGCAGGUGACCUUUCAGUGUGCCACUGAGAGUAGUUUGUCAUGAUAUUGUCUAGGAGUUUUGUAGCGUCUCCUAACGUGAUUUCCAUGAACGUUCCACCUGAGGCGGAGUCCAAGCUAUUGCGAGAGGCAAAAUUCAAGCCAGCGUAAAAGAUUUGUAUAAUCAUCCACAAACUCAAGACAUGAGCGGGACAAUUUCUAAUCAUUAACUUCAUCCUCUCCCAAGAUUGUGCAACGUGUUCAUGAUCAAGUUGCUUGAAAUUCAUGAUAUCGUUACGUAAGGAGAUGAUCUUAGCCGGCGGAAAAUACUUGGAUAUGUAAGAAUCUUUGCACUUAUCCCAAGAAUCGAUACUAUUUUUAGGCAAAGAAGAAAACCAAGUUUUUGCACGAGCUCGCAACGAGAAAGGAAAAAAGCUUCAACUUAAUCACGUCAUUAUCCACAUCUCGUUUCUUUUGCAUAUCGCAAAGCUCAAUGAAGGUAUUGAGAUGGGAUGCAGCAUCUUCACUAGGAAGGCCAGAGAAUUGCUCUUUCGUAACAAGAUUUAGCGAAGCUGCGUUGAUUUCAUACGAUUCCGCACUAGUGGCGGGAGCAAUCGGAGUACUAAUAAAAUCAUUAUUAUUGGUACUCGAGAAGUCGCAUAGUUUGGUGUUUUCAACCAUGAUGACUUCAACAAACAAACAAGCACACAAGCAAGCAAGAAAACCGGCAAAGGAAAACGGCAAAAAGGCAAAAGGCAAAAGAAAACGACAAAGGAGAAAGGCAAAUGAAAACGGCAAAGGAGAAAGGCAAAUGAAAACGGCAAAUGUGAAGUGGGGGAGAGGAAAACGAGAGGCAACUUACAAAAAAGUAAAUGCAAGAGAUGAGUUUGUGAGACCUACUUGGAUAGAUAUCUCCUUCCCCUGCAACGGCGCCAGAAAUACUUCUGCUACUGCAAAAAAAGACCUUCCAACGGCGCGAGAAACACGUGCUGACGGGAGACUAUUCUUGUCUUGAUACUCCUCGGCAACGACACCAGGAAUCCUUCUGCUACGGCUACGCCUUUAGGGACUUCCUUGGCAAAUAUGCAAAGGAUUCCCCCGUGGCCUUGGAGCCUUGCGUUGGUGUUCCCUCGAAGCGGAAAGGGUGAUGUAGCACGGCGGCGGUAAGUAUUUCCCUCAGUUUUGAGAACCAAGGUAUCGAUCCAGUGAAGGAUUAUCACAAGUACCUGCACAAACACAAAGAGCUUGCAUCCAACGCUAUGAAGGGGUUGUCAAUCCCUUAUAGAUUGUUUGCCAAGUGAGAACUAAAAGCAACAAAGUAACAAAGCAAAGUAAAAGCAAAAGUGGAAACGAUAGGUGUGAAUAGACCCGGGGGCCGUAGUGUUCACUAGUGGCUUCUCUCAUGAAAGCAAGUAGACGGUGGGUGAACAAAUUACUGUCGAGCAAUUGAUAGAACUGCGCAAAGUUGUGAUGAUAUCUAUGCAAUGAUUAUUUCUUUAGUCAUCACGUCCAAAACAAGUAGACCGAUACUGUGUGCAUCUACUACUAUUACUCCACACGUCGACCGCUAUCCAGCAUGCAUCUAGUGUAUUAAGUCCACAAGAACAGAGUAACUCCUUAAGCAAGAUGACAUGAUGUAGAGGGAUAAUCUCAAACCAAUGAUGAAAACCCCAUCUUUUUACCCUUGAUGGCAACUACUUGAUGUGUGCCUUGCUGCCCCUACUGUCACUGGGAAAGGUCACCACAUGGCAGAACCCAAAACCAAGCACUUCUCCCAUUGCAAGAAUCAUAGAUCCAGAUGGGCAAACAAAACCCAAGGCUCGGAGAGACUUACAAGGAUAUCAAAUCAUGCAUAUAAUAAAUCAGCAAAGACUCAAAUGUAUAUCAUAGAUAAUCUGAUCACAAAUCCACAAUUCAUCGGAUCUCGACAAACACACCGCCAAAGAGGAUUCCAUCGGAUAGAUCUCCAUGAAGAUCAUGGAGAACUUUGUAUUGAAGAUCCAAGAGAGAGAAGAACCAUCUACCUACUAACUACGGACCCGUAGGUCUGAAGUGAACUACUCACGAGUCAUUGGAGGGGCGAUGAUGUUGAUCUAGAAGCCCUCCAACUCCAAAGUCCCCUCCGGCAGGGCACCGAGUAGGGUCUCCAGAUGAGAUAUCGCGGAAACGGAAGCUUGCGGCGGCGGAAAAGUGUUUUCGUGGGUUCCCCUAUUUUUUUCUAUUUUAGGGAAUAUAUAGGCGAAGGAGCUAGGUCAGGGGGGCGCCAGGGAGGCCACAAGCCUGGUAGCCGCCGCCCCCGUGGUGGUGGCUACAGGGCUUGUGGGCCCCCUGUAGCUCUCGUGCCUUGGCCAUCAAGCCCCCUGAUCUUCUUCCGUUCUGGAAAAAUUUAUUUCGGGGAUUUUAUUCCGUUUGGACUCCGUUCCAAAAUCAGAUCUGAAAAGAGCCAAAAACGCAGAAAAAACAGGAACUGACACUUGGCACUGAAUUAAUAAGUUAGUCCCAAAAAAGAUAUAAAAGGUAAACAAAACAUCCAAAGAUGACAAGAUAAUAGCAUCAAAACCAUCAAAAAUUAUACAUACGUUUGAGACGUAUCAGUCAUCAGUCGCCGGAUCCCACGUACAGGUUCAUUGGAGUGGCGUUGCAGCGCCUCUAACUGUAUCCACGCGCGCAAGAGAGACACUGUGCGGCGGACUGCUAGGUCUGGAUCACACAGUUGGCGGUGGCGAGUGGAGGUGGCUAGGUGCAACACAUGCACAACCCUAAUGACGGCGACGAAGUAAUCAUCUCAAUAAGAGUGUCGCAUGUCCACUAUAUAUAGGCGCCCGGCGCAGGCCGAACUCUUGGGCCUCGCACGGACCCUAAAUCCCACGUGUUCCUUACUUUAAGCUCGCGACCCCUUAGGUUCUUGUUCACUUGGUCGCGAGUCAGACCACGUCUGACUUGGCUUGUCGGUAGCGGCCUCUAGCAAGGCGUGUCAUCUCCAAGUGUCCGAAGAAGCUGGUUAGGCGAACCUGUACUUCAUACUUUUGUUCCCUUUGCCACACGUUAUACGUUGUCAUGCUCAAGGCGACAUGGUCAUCCUUGUUGUCGCACAACCUCUUUCUCGUUUCGGUGAAUCUCACCAACAUUUGUAUUAUCUCAUAAGCCUCAUCGCAUAGUCAUGCUUAUCGAGGUCAGAUCACCCGAGGGGCCCAGAGUAUAUCUCUCCUGGUCGGAGGGGCAAAUCCCAUCUUGCUCAACCACGUCUCGCAGGAUGGGUUUGGACAAGCCCGAAACCUACCUUUGUAACUACCCAGUCACGGAGUAGCGUUUGUGAAAGUGCAGUCAUGCCCUUAAUCGAGUUUUGGUGUUAAUGACAACACAUACAUAGGAAACUAAUCUUAUUUGUUGAGUGUAUCUCACGAUGGCUUUUAAAGUACUCUUAGUAGAUCGAGAAUUAUGUGCCAAGGUGGCUUGAGAAGAUCGGGACUUAUAUGUCAAGAAGGCUCGAGAUUGAGAAAAGAUAUGUAGCCUAUCCUUUAAUUUACUAUUCUUGAGUAUAGGGAUCCCGCACUAUUAAGAGGGGAUCACAGGUUUUGCGAUGAACUUUCUCAAACUACAUCUCUACUUUUCUGCUCAUACCACAUCUCCAUUGCUCUGCUUUGAUCUCAAAACAGAACCAAUGCCUCGGACAUCCGGCUUCCUCCGGACGUCCGAGGGCCGGACGCCCGACCACUUCGGAAAUCCGAAACCUUAUACUAGAGUCAAAGUCUCGGACAUCCGGCUCCCUCCGGACGUCCGAGGGCCGGACGCCCGACCACUUCGGAAAACAGGAACCUUGCACCAGAGUCAAACAACACGGACUUCCGGCCUCCUCCUGUCGUCCGAGGGCCGGACGUCCGACCACUUUCAGAAAUCCGAUUCCCUUGAACACAGCUGAAAUCUCGGACAUCCGACCUUCUCUUCGGACGUCCGGUCCCUGUUUGACUACACAGUGGCAAACUGAUAUGAACACUCCUUUGGUCGUCCGACGCGUGUCGGACGUCCGGAAACCGUCGGACGUCCGACCACUGUCAGACUUAAGUGACCCCAACGGUUAUUUUAGUCUCCCCACUAUAUAUACCCCCUCCCACUUCGUGAGAGGGGGUCCAACACAGCAAGAGCACUUACAAAUACACCUUCUUCCUCACUCACUCUUGCCCACACCCAAUCUUAUAUCCCAAGAGCAUUUGUGAGCCCCUUUGAGUGUUGUUCCUAUCAAAAGAUAGUUCGUCUCCUUCUCCUCCUCUCCACCAAAGCGAUUUGUGAUUUGAGCAAGUUUUAAGCAAUCCCCCUGAUCUUGUUACUCUUGGAGGUUGGAGACUCCUAGGCGGUAGGAGUCUUCGGAGAGGAAUCAAACCUUUGUGAUUACCCCCGAAAAGUUUGUGAAGGUUUGGAAGCCACCUCAAGGCUUACCACUAGUGGUUGAGAAACGCCUUCGUGGUGUUGUCUCAAAGGGAGAAUAGGUUGAGCCUUCGUGGCGUUGGUGUGCCUUCGUGGUAACAUCCGCCCCUCUAACGGUGACGUAGCUUCCCUCCAAGGAAGUGAACACCGGGAUACAUCCUCGUCUCUCUUGGAGUUUUGGUUAUCCCUAACCCUAACUCUCUACUUGUGUUAAUCCUUAUUACAUACAUGCAUUUGAUUAUAGUUUACCGGUUGCCUUACUUUACUCUAAAUAGCUUACUCUUUGGCUUUGCAAUUAUUAGGCUUACUCUCAUAUUCCGCACAAUUGCCUAAAAUUGCUAAGUAACUAUUAAAAUUUGGAACUGUACCUAUUCACCCCCCCCCCUCUAGGUCCAUCUCGAUCCUUUUCAAUUGGUAUCAAAGCCUCGUGCUCUAUUCUUGUGGCUUAACUGCCCUAGAGCGAGAUGGACGGGACUCCCAUUACUGUAGCUCCAGUGGAGAAGGACGGGACUUCCACGGAAGUCAGGUCCUUCACCUCUGAGGACCUGGAACGUGCCCUUGCCAAGCAAAAAGAGGAGCAUGAUGCUUCUCUUGAGGCCUUGGUCCAAAUGAGACUGGCCUCAUUAACCACGGGGACAUCCACGUCUCCGAGGGCCUCAGGGCAAAAUGUGCCCAGUUCUUUAUUUGGCCAACAACCUCUAGGCAAUAACCAAACCAGUGUUCCAUGGCUUUAUGCUAGAUCUCAAGUUGAGAAACCUAAGUACAAUCCUGGAGGAAAACCUCCUUUGCUUGAUGAUAAUUCCGAUUUUGCUUUAUGGAGAGUUGGUAUGCAGGAUCAUCUUAGGUACGCCAAUGAUGAGAUGUUGGACAUCCUCGAGCAUGGCUACCACCCUAUAGAUCCAAGGUGCCUCACUCCCAGAGAAACUUAUGACAAGCAUCUCAAUGACACUACGAUCAUGUGCAUAAGAAAAGGGAUGAAUGACAAGCAACGGAGACCUUACAUACACAUCACAAGCACCAAGGAACUAUGGGAUAGCAUUAUAAGGACCAAGACCGGUACCUCCACUCUUCGGCUUGCUCAAUAUGAAAUUGCCAAGGGGCAAUUGCAGAACUUCUGUAUGGAAAAGGGUGAAUCUCCCAAGCAACUGCUAGAACGGCUCAUGACUCUCGCCGCAGACAUUGAGUCCUGUGACUGUGACAAGACGCAAGAUGGUUUCAACCUGACCAAGUGAUUUCUCAUGGACAAGUUACUUCAUGCCCUUGCUCCGUACCACCAUCAAAUGGUAUGGGACAUAAGGCAGCACCAUGGGUUCAAAGAAAUGGCCCCAGAUGACAUCAUAUCCACUUUCUAAUUAUUUGAAGAGUCAAAGGCAAAUGCAACAAAGCACCUUGCCAUGCAUGGUACUUCAAUAUCAAAGAUCAAUCUUGCUUUGAAAGCCAAGCAUGAAUGUGACGAAGAAGAAAGUGAAGAAGAAGAGGGUGAUGAAGACUGCGAAGAUGGUGAUGAUGCUGACUCUGAUGAAAGCCCAUCUUAUGAGGACAUUGCUCUCUUUGUAAAGAAGUCUGGUGCAGGAAAAUUCAAGGGAAGAUUCCCAAAGAAGAAAGUAAGAAAAUGCUAUAACUGUGAGAAAACCAACCACUUCUCAAAUGACUGCCCUUAUGAGAAGAGAGAAGAUAAACCAAGGUUUCCGAAGACCUUCGUAAAGAAGAAAUUGCCAAACCUUAUGAACUCCAAGCUCAAGGGAAGAGAUGGAAGAGCAAUGGUUACACAAGAAGAAUCAGAUCCAGGAGACGUUGGUGGGGUUGCCGGAGUAGCUCAGGAUACACAAAACACCUUGAGGCUCGUCAACAAAAGUGGCGAUGUUGUUCACUACAACUAUAUGAAAGACUACAAGGGCAACGCCCACAAGUGUUUGAUGGCAAAGACUGUCAUAGAAGAUGAGGAAGACCAAAGCUCCCAUGAUAAGGUUAAGGUAACUCCACAGUUGAACUCUUUCAGUCUAGUUUCUACCUCAUCUGAUGAGUACCUUGAUGUGGAGGAUCACUAUGAGGACAAUGACUUAGAUCAUCCUAUGUUUGCCAAAAUAAACAAAUUUAUGUGCUCUCUUAAAGGAAAGAAGCUCACUAUGUUUCGCAUACUUAUGGAAAUGGUGAGUAAGCACACCAAUACCAUCAAGGAACUCGAAACCCUCUUCACUGAGGAGAAGGAAAGGAAUGAAAUCCUUGAGCAGAAAGUCAUGUAUGAGGAAGCACAAAAUGAUGCAUUAUGCUCAAAAGUUGGUGAAAACCUUGAUAAACAUGCUAACGAUCUUGCAUCCUUGAAAAAGGUUGAAUAUGUGUGCAAAGGGUUAUUAAAUGAUAAAAACAGACUUUUGAAUUCUCAUGCUUCUCUCUCUAAGGACUGUGAGCGCCUAUCCUUGUCUCUCAAGGACAAGGAAGAGAAACUCACUGUUCUUACAAAGAGCUUUGAGGCACUCAAGGUUACUUACCUUGACACUCUAGCUAAGGCUUACUCCUGACCUAUUAUUAAUGUUGAUACCUGCACUGCUAACUCUAGUAGUGAACUGGCAUCUAUUCUUGAGGAAAAUUGUUCGCUAAAGGCACAGCUAGAUAGAGGUCUCAUGACAUGCGCACAAGGGCAAAAGACUCUCAAUGAGAUCUUAAGUCAACACAAUGAGGUCUUUGCCACGGAAGGGCUUGGGUUUAAUCCAAGCACCACCAAGAAAAGUGUAUCUCCUCUCAAGUGCACCACCCCUCUUAAAGAAACAUUUGUACGAGAGGGACACAAGGAGAAAGGUAAGGUUGUGAGUGGGUCGGACACUAGGGGUUUGCCCACUCUCAACAAGACAACAGAGUUCAUGCCUCCAUCCUAUGUACUUCGCAAAUCAAAGGAAGGAGAGGUUUAUGCUAAAUUCGUUGGUCCCCGUAAUGCAUUCCGGUUUUAUGCUAUUUGGGUCCCUAAGACUCUUGUAACUAAUGUGAGAGGCCCCAUGAUGAAAUGGGCACCUCAAACCAAGUCUUAAUUCGUGUACAGGCUGUUUUCUCUGGAGGAGUCAAAUGGGUGAUCGACAGUGGAUACACCAAUCAUAUGACCGGAGAUAGUAACUUGCUCUACGACUUCAUGCAAGCCAUUCGACCAUACAUGAGCAUUGUAUUUGGUGGAGGGUCGAAAGGGCAGGUAAUUGGGUUGGGCAAGGUGGCAAUCACUAAUGACAUGUCUAUUGCAAAUGUCAUGCUUGUCCAAUCUCUUCAAUAUCAUUUACUUUCAGUUCGCCAAUUGGCUUCCGUUGGUUAUGACACAUUAUUCGGACUAACGGAUGUGAAAGUCUUUAAGAGAGACACUCUCGAAGUGGCCUUUGUUGGAGAGUUGGAUGGCAACCUUUACACGGUUGAUUUCUCGAAAGAGAGCACUUUCCAUACAACUUGUCUAAUGGCCAAGGCCGACAUGGGAUGGUUGUGGCAUCGCCGGCUCGCCCAUGUAGGCAUGAGAAAUCUUCAAAAUCUCUUAAAAGGCAAUCACAUCCUUGAAUUAACUAAUGUAUAUUUUAAGAAAGAUCGUGUAUGCACUGCAUGCAUAGCUGGGAAGCAACAUCAAUCAAAACACCCACUCAAGAAUAUUGUAUCCACCUCAAGGCCUUUAGAGCUCCUUCAUGUGGAUCUGUUUGGGCCUCCUUCAUGGGCAAGUCUUGGUGGGAAAAAGUAUGGACUAGUCAUUGUUGAUGAUUACUCAAGAUACACAUGGGUAUUCUUUCUCAAGUCCAAGGACGAGACGAAGAUCACCUUCAUUGAUUUUGCCAAACAAGUCCGGCGCAAGUUUGACAAGGCCAUCAAGGCAAUAAGAAGUGAUAAUGGCUCUGAGUUCAAGAAUUACACCCUAGAAGAAUUUCUUAGUGAUGAGGGAAUUGAACAUCAAUACUCCGCACCUUACACCCCUCAGCAAAAUGGUGUAGCAGAGACGAAGAACCGGACACUUGUGGAAAUGGCAAGGUCCAUGUUAGACGAAUACAAGUCACCACAUAGUUUUUGGGCUGAGGCUGUCAACACAUCAUGUCAUGCAUCAAACCGGCUUUUCCUUCGACCAAUAUUGGAAAAGAGUCCAUAUGAGCUCCUAACCGGGAACAAGCCCAAUGUCAAGUACUUUCGUGUAUUUGGAUGCAAGUGUUUCAUCCCCAACAAACGGGACGAGUUAGGAAAAUUUCAAUCCAAAACAACUGAAGGGAUUUUUGUUGGCUAUGGAUCAAACUCUCACGCCUACAGAGUCUACAACAAAUCCAAUGGAUGUGUUAUAGAAACCUAUGACGUGACAUUUGAUGAAUUUAACCGCUCCCAUGGGGAGCAAGUUGAUCUAAGUGAUGCAGGUGAAGAAGAUUCCUCGCAAGAUAUCUUGAACAUGGGUGUAGGUGCACUUCUUCCCAUGGAACAAGAACCCCAUGAUGAUGAUGAAGAUGAUGAGAGUAUUUCUCAUCCUCAAGAUAGUUCACUGCCCGUACCUCCACAAGAUACUAGCACACAUAUCAUGUAAGUUGUUCAGGAUCAAGUGGGAGAACAUGUCUCUCACCCUGAUCACACUCAAGAACAAGUUGACCUUCAAGAGCUCGACCAAAGUAUGGAUAUGGUUGAUGAUGAACCUCAACAGGUGCAACGCGAAGAGGAAUAUCUUCCACCGCACGUUAAUGAUCCAUAUGUUGAGGACGUUGACGAUGGAAACAAAGUCGAACCUCGUGAAACCCUGACCUCCGUCAUCCCACGUGUGGCCAGUCGUGUUGAUGUUGAUCAAAUCCUCACCGGCGUGUCGGAAGGUAGAGUGAGUCGUAAACAAUUAACAAACUUUUGUGCUCACUUUUCGUUUGUCUCUAGUACUGUGCCACACACGGUUCAGGAUGCAUUGUGUGACAAUGACUGGCUCCUUGCUAUGCAAGAAGAGUUAAACAGUUUUACACGCAACGAAGUAUGGUCAUUGGUAGAACGACCAACUGAGGAACACAGUGUCAUUGGAACUAAAUGGAUCUUCAAGAACAAGGAAGAUGAGAAUGGGGUUGUCCUCCGUAACAAGGCAAGGUUAGUAGCACAGGGGUACUCCCAAGUUGAAGGUUUGGACUUUGGUGAGACUUUCGCCCCUGUUGCUCGUCUUGAAUCCAUUCACAUUCUAUUGGCCUAUGCUGCUUUCAAUGGUUUUACUUUGCAUCAAAUGGAUGUGAAAAGUGCUUUCCUUAAUGGUCCUCUACAAGAAGAGGUAUAUGUAUCACAACCACCUGGGUUUGUUGACCCCAAUCACAAAGACCAUGUGUACAAACUUCACAAGGCUCUGUAUGGCCUCAAACAAGCACCAUGUGCUUGGUACGAUCAUCUUAAGAAGUUCUUACUCGAUGAUGGCUUUGUGAGAGGGGGUGAUCGAUCCCACUCUUUUUACUAAGAGGGAAAACGGUGAUUUGAUCUUAUGCAAAAUCUAUGUAGAUGACAUCAUUUUUGGUUCUCCUAACAUCCAUUUAUGCAAGAAGUUUGCGGCCUCCAUGACCAAGACCUUUGAGAUGUCACUCAACACGGACUUGAAGUUCUUUCUUGGGUUUCAAAUACAACAAUUUCAAGAAGGAAUUUUCUUGUCUCAAACUAAAUACCUCAAGGACAUUCUAGAAAAAUUUGAUAUGACAAAUGCUAAACCAAUGAAGACACCCAUGGCCGCAGAUGUUGUUCUAAAUGAAGACACCAACGGUAUUCCUUUUGACCCUUCUACUUACCGCUCUAUGAUUGGUUCGUUGCUUUAUCUUUGUGCAUCUAGACCGGACAUCAUGUUAAGUGUAGGCAUAUGUGCUAGAUUUCAAGCUUCCCCUAGGGAAAGCCAUCAUACAGCGGUUAAGCAUAUUCUUAGAUACCUUGUUCCCACCCCAAAGUUAGGCCUAUGGUACCCUAAGGAUGCAAAGUUCGAUCUCAUUGGGUACUCGGAUGUGGAUUGGGCUGGUGACAAAGUGGGAUGGAAAUCCACUUCCGGUGCAUGUCAGUUUCUUGGACGUUCCUUGGUAAGUUGUUCCUCGAAAAAGCAGAAUUGUGUUUCUCUCUCCACAGCCGAGGCCGAAUAUAUUACAGCCGCAAGCUGUGCAACCCAACUGCUAUGGAUGAGGCAAACCCUAAAGGAUUAUGGCAUCACUUAUCGACACGUGCCUCUUCUCUGUGAUAAUGAAAGUGCCAUCAAGAUCUCCGAGAACCCCAUUGAUCACCCUCGCACAAAACACAUUGAUAUUAGGUAUCAUUUCUUGAGAGACCAUGUGCAGAAGGGUGACAUUGAUAUUGCUCAUGUGGGUACCGACAUGCAGCUCGCUGACAUCUUCACCAAGCCACUAUGCGUAGCAAGAUUUUGUCAACUUAGGCGUGAACUUGGUAACUUGGAGCUUGAUAACAUAACUUGAAAUGAUGUACACAUGCACACACUCACAUUAUGUUCUUGUCUUGAUGUCGGCAUGCAUUUAGGGGGAGACACUAGCACUCAUGUCAUAAUUUUUGUUUUAACUCUAUAAUAUGCAUAAAUCAACUACCUUCCACAAGUAGUAUAUAUAGUUCUUAUAGGCAACACUGUUGGGUGUCCCUUGUGAUAAACCAUGUCAAAUCACCUCAUCAUCAAGAUCCCAGAAAUUGCCUCUCCCUACUUCCCUCUCGGACGUCCGACGCGUCUCGGACGUCCGACAGUUGACACACUCCAGACGUCCGGCACCUGUCGGUCGUCCGACGGCUGAUGCCCUCCGGACGUCCGACGCCCGUCGAACGUCCGACACAUCGGGAGCCUCUAUAAAUAGAGGGGUGCGGGCUGGGCCUUGCCCUAGCCCCCACGCACCCCCCUUUUCCCCUCUCCCUCCACAGCCGCUGCCAGCCGCCUGAGGAGAUCUACCUUGCGAUCUCGCCGCCACAGGGGCCCUGCCCCGCGAUCUGCUUGUCCUCCUCCGCGGGAUCCUUCUUCCAUCCCUCUCUUCUCUCGAUCUCGCCGCCACAGGGGCCCUGACCCAAGGAGACUAUGCCGAAGCCGGGGACUCGCAGGCCCUCGUAUAUCCCACCGCCGCCUCCUGAACAGCCAGCAGGUGAUGCUCGACGUAUCUCCUUAGAGCCUCCUCCCUCCUUGGGUCGUGAAGUCACGGACUUCACCAAAAAACCCAAAUCCACCUAUUUUACUUUCCGUAGAGAUGUCAACCACUUCGAUGUUGAACGUGAUUCUCUGGAUUCACGGUUUUGCACAAAUGUCCAAGCGGACAUUUUCUCUACAGUCAUAGUUCCUAAAGGUAUAUCAGUUCAUCAUUGCAUUGAUCUUGAGCACAUCCGCACUCACCCGACGAAAUACCCGGGUGCCAUUGAGCUCCUUGAGUCCUCGGGGCUAGCUGCUCCCCUUGCCUUUAAGUGCAAUUUUAACAGUGGCGCCAUCCACCAAUUCUAUGCCACCUGUUACUUUCAUUCUGAUGACUCUGUUAGCUGGAUGACCUCUGAUACGGAGUUUAGGGCCACUUAUGCGGAGUUUGUUGCCGCUUUGGGUUUUCCCGACACCGGUUUCAAAAUUCACAAAAGUGACCCUAACCAUGCUCCCAAAUCCAUUGCGGCAUGUGGUUCUCUUCUCAAACCACACCAUGAUCUUGAUGCUGAUGAAAAACAGAAAGAUCUUAACCAAGUGUCUAUCUGGCGGUCUCCAUACUUUAUCAUUUUUCAAUGCCUUAUCCACACCAUCUACCCCAAGAUGGGUGACAGGGGAACCUGCAGCGGCUACUUCAUUUAUAUCAUGUCACACUUGCAUGAUUUUCCCAAGCGCAAGCUAAAUGUGCCUCAUUUUUUGUGGCAUGAGAUUCGGCUUGCUAGUCUUCAAUACAAGCGAGCCUUCCCUCGUGCCCCCUUCAUCCAGGCUUUCAUCAAAUUUAUUGCUGCUUUCCCGCUUGCUCCUACUCACACGCACCACAAGUGGGUCAUCCCCACUCAUAUGGCGGAUGACUAUGCUCCUAGGAAAACCCCAUCCACCUCCACUCGUCGUGCUGCUUCCCGGUCAGACACUCCUUCAUCCAGCUCUGCCCCUCUCAGUCGCUUUGCCAAAUUCAUUGGCAAAGCCCAUUCUGCCACGAUGAAGGCGUUCUCCUUCUAGUGCGCUCAGAACCACGAUGUGGUUUCGCGUUUGAUCUCCUCCAAGAAUGCCCUCAAGGCUCGUCUGAGAGACUCGGGCACUCUUGAUGUCAAUGACGAUGAGGCUAUUCCUGCUAUUCCUCCUUCUAAUUUUGGCUUCCCAUCUGGUCCUGAGUGGGCUGAUUUUCUUGACGAGGCUGGUGGCAGUGGCUUGCCUGAGGAUGAGGAUGAUGAGGAUGAUCGUGCUGAUGAUCUCUGAGCAUGGUUGAUGUUUCUGGUGCCUCCCUUUUCGGUACUUGAUGCCAAAGGGGGAGUAAUGUAUCCUAGUUUUAGUCUUUGGAGUUUUAGCUUUUGAACUCAAUUUGCAUGUUUGAAUAAUGUAAUGGAUAAACGACUGUGAUGCACUAUGUAUGGCUACCUAUGAAUGUCGUGAUUGCUAUGAUAUCAUCGUAUGUUAUUAUGUUUUGUUCUAUUACUUCAUAUGAUGAUCGGUUAACAUAUGAUGAUCUAUUAUCUCUACUAAGUCACAUGAUAUCUUCGAUACACACAUUAAGGGGGAGCUCCAUUAUUUUUACUGUGCACAUACUAAUGGGGAGCUCCGUACCAAACCACUCCAAAGCUAAAUGUAUGUUAAAUCUUUUGAGAGCUAUGUACAUGUUGUCAUCAACUACGAAAAAGGGGGAGAUUGAAAGUGCAGUCAUGCCCUUAAUCGAGUUUUGGUGUUAAUGACAACACAUACAUAGGAAACUAAUCUUAUUUGUUGAGUGUAUCUCACGAUGGCUUUUAAAGUACUCUUAGUAGAUCGAGAAUUAUGUGCCAAGGUGGCUUGAGAAGAUCGGGACUUAUAUGUCAAGAAGGCUCGGGAUUGAGAAACGAUGAUGUAGCCUAUCCUUUAAUUUACUAUUCUUGACUAUAGGGAUCCCACACUAUUAAGAGGGGGUCACAGGUUUUGCGAUGAAGUUGCUCAUACUACAUCUCUACUUUUCUGCUCAUACCACAUCUCCACUGCUCUGCUUUGAUCUCAAAACAGAACCAAUGCCUCGGACAUCCGGCUUCCUCCGGACAUCCGAGGAGCGGACGCCCGACCACUUCGGAAAUCCAGAACCUUAUACGAGAUCCAAAGUCUCGGACAUCCGGCUCCCUCCGGAUGUCCGAGGGCCGCACGCCCGACCACUUCGGAAAACCGGAAUCUUGCACCAGGGUCAAAUAACUCGGACUUCCGGCCUCCUCCUGUCGUCCGAGGGCCGGACGUCCGACCACUUUUGGAAAUCCGGUGCCCUUGAACAGAGCUAAACUCUCGGACAUCCGACCUUCUCUUCGGACGUCCGAUCCCUGUUUGACUACACAGUGGCAAACUGAUAUGAACACUCCUUCGGUCGUCCGACGCCUGUCGGACGUCCGGAAACCGUCGGACGUCUGACCACUGUCAGACUUAAGUGACCCCAACAGUUAUUUUAGUUUCCCCACUAUAUAUACCCCCUCUCACUUCGUGAGAGGGGGUCCAACACAGCAAGAACACUUACAAAUACACCUUCUUCCUCACUCACUCUUGCCCACACCUAAUCUUAGACCCCAAGAGCAUUUGUGAGCCCCUUUGAGUGUUGUUCCAAUCAAAAGAUAGAUCGUCUCCUUCUCCUCCUCUCCGCCAAAGCGAUUUGUGAUUUGAGCAAGUUUUGAGCAAUUCCCUUGAUCUUGUUACUCUUNUAUUCCCCCCCCCCCCCUCUAGGUCCAUCUCGAUCCUUUUUAGUUUGGUCGGCCAAAAGCAAGUCUGUCACCAUCCCGAGUACAUGCGACAACUCAGGUCUUAGGACAUAGAACGUAUGUUGUACUAGAGACUCAAAAAUGACCUAUCACUGCGUCUCGUAGUUGGGUAUGUCCAACUUAGACCUUAUCUCGACUCGGAUCCGACUAUGUCGAAUCUGAGCAGAUCUUUCUGAGUGCAUAUUAUCUGGCUAGCAUCCAUUGGUACAUGAUUAGUGAGACCGGACCAUCCACCAUAUCAUAUGCUAGUCUAGUUGGCUGCGCGUCCACACAACUCUUUCGACUAGGGACCAUUUAGGACAGUCAUCAUACAAUGUAUAGUCUCACAAACAAGUCACAUACUUGUUAAUACACAUCAUUAAUAAUGUCCAAGGACUAUCUUUAUUCAUAAACACAUAGGAAAUACUAUCAUACAUAAUUGCCUUUAGGGCAUAUCUCCAACAUCUAUAACUAGCUAUGUUGACCCGGGUUCUCUGGUGUAUGAUUGCUAGCGACAUAAUCAUAUACGUGAGCCAAAAGAUGCAAACGGUCCCGACCAAGGUAAGGUGGAAGCCAUGGUGAUUACCGUGCGUGAGGUCGUAAAGCGAUGUGAUAUGUUACAAGUUGGAUUCAUAUGACUUAGGAUCGGGGUCCCGACAAAGGGUAAUUAACGUCUCCUUUUUUAUAGAGCAUAGAACAAAGCAUUAACAUAUAGUGAAUACAUGAACUCCUCUUACUACAAUCAUCAUUGGAGGGGUCCCAGUUAUUGUCACUUUGGGGUCUACGGAUCAUGACACAUAAUAGGUGCAUACAACUUGAAAGAUAGGAUCCAGAACACUCUUAUAUUCAUGGGAACAUAAUAGAUUUAGAUCUGAAAUCAUGUCAUCUGGGCCCUAGUGACAAGCAUUAAGCAUAACAAAGUCAUAGCAACAUCAAUGUCACAACAUAAUGGAUACUAGGGAUCAAGCCCUAACAAAUUGACUCGAUUACAUGACAAAUCUCAUCCAUCUCCAUCACCAUCCAGCAAGUCAACGAAGGAAUUAUUCACUCCCGUUGGUGUGCAUAAUGGGAUUGUUGACGGAGAAGGGUUGUUGAUGACAUUGGCACCGAAUCACCCUCCAUGGAGCCCCAACCGGACUCGAGGUCAGUCCUCCCGGUGAAGAACAGGAGGUGGUGGCAGCUCUGUAUCAUAAAACAUGACGAAACUUUCUCCUCUAUUCUUUAUCUCCACGAGACAUCACUUAUAUGAUUGAAGGCAGAGCAAAUGAAGGCUCCACGGGCCCACAAACUCACGUGACGUGCCCUAGGGGGAGGGCGCCACCUGAGCUUGCGGAUCUGUGGUGGCCCCCCUCUAGUAGAUCUUUUCACCAUUUUUAUCAAUUUCAGAAGAAAUCUUCGUAAAUUUUCAUGUGAUUUCGAGAACUUCAUUUUUAUUCACAAAAAUGACACAAAGGUAGUUCUCAUGAAAAUAAUUUUAGUGUGGGUUAGUGUGACAGCCCGAGACCGACGCCCUAGAAGAUUCCCCUUUUAGUCCGUUUUCGUCGGGUGAUUAUUUUGAUUUGUCGCAUCAUCAUCGCAUCAUCCGCAUUGCAUCAGCAUCCCGUUGUCGCCAGUUUUCAAAACUUGCAUCCUUUGUUAGUUGCCGGUUCUCGUCGUCGCCCGUUUUGAAACCGACCGCAAUCACCCGCGCCCGCGGCAUCGUCAAAAUCUUGUUUUAAAAGUGUGUGUAAAACUUUCUCUGAUUGGGUUUGAACUUGACGUGCGGUCUUAUUUUAAUAUAGGUAGGCCGCCUGUCAAAUUUCGUCGCAAUCGGAGUCCGUCUGGUACCCGAACGGUCGACCGUAGCGGCACCGUAUUCGGUCUAUCGUCAGACGUUUUAUAGGUGUUUUAAAAUCACGUUGCCGCGCCACACCAUUUCCCUCUCUUCCCCGGCUAGCCUACUCUACACGGUCACUUAGCCGACCCCGCGUUCGAGUUUGUUCGAUUUCGAUCGCGUGAGCGAAAACGGGGCCGGAUUCGGACAACCCUAGCUCUGUGUCUAUAAAUAGACAACCUCCCCUUCCUAAUCUAACCCUAACCCUAGUCCACCUCGGAAUCCGAGCCCCCCCACCAAACCCUAGCCGCCACUGCCUCUCACUCUCCCACCUCCAGCCGCUGAGCCGCACGACCCAGAUCAGGCCCGCCCGGACCCGAAUAAGCCACCAACCCCGCCGGCUCCCCUGAGCUCCUCUCGCUCCGUGUGGAGCCGCGCCGCCAUGCCCGUCCCCAUGCCCAUGCCCCGCCGCCAGCUCCUCGCCGCCGGAUGCGCCGCAGCAGCUCGCCCCGUCGCCCCGGUUCGCAGCUGCCUCCCUACCCUGCAGCCCCGAGCCGCGGAUCCCAACCACCAUGGUCGCCGCCCACUGCUUCGACCUCCGGCUCGUCAGCACCCCGAUAUGAUCGAGGAUCACACCCCAGCGCCCUCCCGUGGUCGGAUCAGGCCGGAACCGCCGCCUCAACGCGUCCUUGCCCCGCCGGAGACCCUGUAGGGAAGCGUCGCCGCCUCCCUCGCUUGUUGGAGCCCUCGCGCUCGAGGAGCCGCCUCCGCGCGUCGGGCCGCCAGCGCUCGCCCCCCCCCCACACACACACAUGGCCUAGGUCGAGCGCCUCGCCCCGGCCCAGUUGCACGCGCCAGCCCACCAGCCUCCACCACCCUCCGGCCCAACUGCCACGCGCCCUCGGCCUGCCUCCCCAUCGAACCAGACCGGCCCAUGGUGAGCAGCUCCCGCCCAAGCCGCUAUUCUUCGCCCCGGGCGAGAGAUAGUUAUUUCACGCCCUCAGUUUCGGCCCGUAGUAUUUUAGGAUUUAAUUUAUAUUCCAGAAAAAUGCUAGUUAUUAAAAUGGCCGUAAUUAUUAAACCGUAUGUCGGAUCGAGGCGAGUCAUAUAUGGAAAUCGUGUAAUUUUCCGCGUAGAUUAAUAAUUUGCAACUUGCAUGCAUGUUUGAAAUGAUUUGGCUUGCCAUAUGCCUAGUUUUGUGUGGUGUCCCAAUAGGGGAUUGCCCCGUAUUUAUUUUUGUGCGUGUCCGGAUUGCUCAAACUCCUAGAUAAAAUGCUCAUGCUUUUAGGGACCCUUUGCCAUGUAUUUUAGAGUGGUUGUUGGUAUUUUUGCAUGUAGGAUUCUGUCGCUGGUUUACUAUACCGCGUUUAGGACAUAAUCUCGCAUAUACGUGUGGUAUUAUUGUUGUGCAACCCCACAUGUUAUAUAUGUUUUCGGGGUAGAAAAAUCCAUAGAAUUUAACUGUGCAUUUAGUUUUAGCUUUUGAGCAAGUUAGUGUGCGUGAUAUUUUGCCAUGUUGCCCUUUUGUUUUUUUUGUGGGAUUUAAUCCGCGCGUGUGUCGGGACCCCGAUCCUAAGCCAUAGGAAUCCAGCCUGUAACACAUCACAUCCCUUUGCGGUCUCACCCAGGGUUAUCCCCAUGGCUGCAGCCUUACCUUAGUCGGGACCGUUUGCGCCUUUUGACUCGCGUAUGCAAUUGUGUCUCUAGCAUUCCGAUGUCAAAGAACCCGGGUCGACAUGUCUAGUCAUAAACUCAAGUGGCAGUUCCGUACAGGGACAGGCAUACAUGACCCAGCAAAGAAGGUGUCCGUCAUCAGCGAGUGUAGACGGGUCGUAGCAAGCUACAAGGACUCCAUUACACCGCGUGACAUUUCCCCAAAGGGACAGACACGACAUCCAAGAAGGACACAUGCCAGUCAACCAAUGUGUCUGGAGCAGUAGCGAACUACCAUGGCUCGGUGGAAACACAAAGGGGCAUUUCCCCGUAAGGAAUGCUACUAAGGCAUACGACUAGGUGUUCGAACCCCAGGCAUAUCAAGUACAACACACGUACGCAUGGCGUACCCGAUAUGCAUAGAUACAUCGAUGGCAUCACAACAAAACCAUAAACAUACAACUUUAUUUAGAACGCUCGGAAGAGCCUCACACAUAAUAUUACACACAUAGGGGUCUCAUGACCCAUCAUCACAAGUCAUUCAAACAAGUCUUAUAAGCCAGCGGAAGAUUAAAAUUGUCUGAGUAUAGACAGAUGGAAAGGUAAAAGGCACAUGGCCUGACUAUCUACAGACCCAACCUAGGGCCAGAUCGUAGCUGGGACACUAGCUACUCGUCGUCGUCAACGUCUAGAUAGAACCCACCAUUAGGGUCAUUAACAACCUCUACAACAAUUUAUUAAGCAAACGUGAGUACAAAAGUACUCAGCAAGACUUUAGAAUAAUCUAUCUAUUCAUGCAAUAUAUCAACAAGGAGUUGUGGGGUUUCAUGCAGAAAGGCAGAUUUGACUCUUGGCUAGACAAAACUACAUUUUUAAAUAGUUUUGACAACUUUGUUUUCUCGCACACGAGUCCACUAACUCCACAACAAUACACCAUCAUGGAAUCAUUCCGUCUCCCUAUGGAAAUGCCAUCCACGACACUCACACUUAUCUUGACAUUUUUAUGAGUAGUCAUUAUAGUUGUCUAUGAACAACAUAUGUUUCCAAGUAGUCCAUAUCCGCAGAUGCGGCUAUUCGAAAAGAUCAUAACCCUGCAGGGAUGUACUUCUUCACACACGCUCUCGCCACUUAUCGCUAUGUGCACAUCAUGCAUCUCGGCAACCUUCAAGCGGAAGCCCAGCGAGGGAGUCGGCCACGACCGUUAACCAUGUUAAUACCUAGUCCAGGUUUAUCGCCUAUCUGAGUGUAACCCGCACGGAAGUCCGACCGAGGUUUCCGCCACGGCCCCAAACGAUGUGCGCAGGGUUCCCAAGCCCACCAUCCGGGUGUCACUUGGUACACCGUGCCACUGCCUACCGCGUCAUAGCCCACCUCUAAGGUCAGCACUAUGCAUGGCCUCCAGCAUGACUAUAAACACCAGAAACUACUUGUGACUCCUGGACCGAAUACUAGGCGAUUAAUAAGUCGAGCGGGGUCAUAUUUCAGGGCCCAGCAUGUGGUAGUAUCUCGUCUUGGAUUAGAUACACGGAACUCAGUUCCUAAGGACGGUUCCUAUGAAACAACCCGCCAUGUACUCCUACAUAGCCUUUCACCGGUACCUUUACCAAAUCAGGUUCAACACACAACCAUAAUAACUGAACACAUUCUCAUGAUCCUGUUCAUCACCCAUAUGACAGACCAAACACAACUCUAAGCAUAGCAUGCAUAGCAGGGUAAGACACAUCAUGGCUCAAGCAUCUACCAGGUAUGCUAGGUUGCAAGGUUUAGCUAAUUACUGUGACAAAGACAUGUCAUGAAAAGGAAUGGGUUCAACUAACAUGAUAAAGGCAUUUGAAGCAUUUUGACCUAAUGCAAUAAAUAAGAGUAGGAGCGAGAACAUGGGAUUUAUCAGGAUGAUCAAAAUUGUUGCUUGCCUUGUUGCUCAGCAGAGGGGUGAUAUCCGUCAGUCGGAUAAUCAGUCGUCCCUGGAGGGGUGGGGCCUACCGAAUAACAACAUACAAUUAAUAACAAUCAUAUGCAACAAUCAUGAUGCAUGAACAUGACAAGAAAUGAAGGGUGAUAUGUUUCAAUGUGGUUGGUGAAACCUUAGUUUGCAUCUGGAUUGAAAUCCAAAUUCAAAUAUCAUUUGAAAUGGCAUAUUUAUCUUAAUCAUUUAAUUGAUUUGACCUCAUGUUGUUUCAUAACUUUGUUUUUCAUGCAUGAAAGUAACACCAUUGUGUUCAUUGAAUUUUUCUGAUCAAUUUGCAUAUAUUAUUUGUCUGAUUUGGAGUUAUAAUCAAAUUUCUUUGAAUUUCCAAAGUUUUGCAAUUAUUCUGGAAUUAUAUUAAAACCAGAAUUGGACUUAUUGCAUCAGCAUGACAUCAGCACGUCAGCUGGCCGUUGGAAGUCAAACCUGACUAGUCGGACCCACUGGUCAGUGACUGUGGCCAGUUUUAGAUUAAGUUUAAAGUUAAUUAGCUAUUUAACAGAGCUCGACCCACAUGUCAGUGGCUAUUUAACUUCUAAUAUAACUUCUAUUUUUAUUUUAACUAAACCUAAUUAGUAUGAGGCCGGCCCCACAUGUCAUUGACUCUAGGGAGCUCAAAUCCAACGGCGGCGAGGUGGAAAUCGCCGGUGAUGAGCUCUGGCGACAACAGAGACAGCGGGGAGCUUCAGGUUUUCUAUUCCGGCGACCAAACGCAAGGCGGAAGGCACCAGAUGAUCGGCCGCUCGAUCGCAGACCCAUUUUUCAAAGAAGAGGGGCUAAGAUGGCCGGAGAUGACGCCGGCGACGAGCUCAGGGGCUGCCAGAGUUCGGGCACCAUCGGGAUCAUUGAUCCAGAGGCUAGGAGGGUCAAGGCUUAGCACCUACGACAUCUACGCGGUGCACUAAUGCUGCUGGUGGCCGGAGAAUGACUAGCCGAUCACCGGAGAGCUACCGGCGACGAGGUCCCGCGGUGGAUCUCGUCGGGCUCCGGUGGAAUCGGGGCCUAGAGCUCGGUAUCGAGAGGGAAAAUGAGGGGGAAAGCACCCUGAGCUCACACGCAGUGCAGAGGCGACGAGAGCGGGCUCGGGGAUGGUCUGAGGAGGGAGAACGACGGCAGCGAGCUUCGGGGAUCCGAGGUUGAAGACGAUGGCGUCACAGCGUCUCAGGGGUUCUCGGCGUCUAGCAGCUGGCUGGAGAGCUUCAGGAGACCAAGGCGAUGCUAUUGCGCAGCUCAGGUGAGAGGGAGAGGGGCUGGUGCGACGGCGAGCUCGAGCUCGGCUCGGGCUCUAAUGGCGGCCGAGAGAGGAGAGAGCUGGGGGAGGAAUGAGGCGAGGAAGAGCUCGGGGACAGCUGCGGGAGGCUUAUCCCCUCCUUGCCAGCGCGAAGCGGCGGCCAGGCAGGCACGCAGGUGCGUGGCCGCGUCGGAGGGAGCGGCGACCACCUCCUGCUGCUCGUUGGCAUGAGGAAGACGAUAGGGCGAGCUGGGCUGGGCCAGGGGUGAGCGACAGGUAAGUCUUUUUCUAUUUUUUUCAUUUCUGUUUCUGUUAAAUCCUUUCCGACUUUGUUUCGUUUUAUUUUUGGCUCCAAAAUAUUCCUAAAAUAGUUUGAAACAUGCUGAAAUGUUAUUUGAGGUAUUUCCAAACAUAUAUAAAAGUUUCAGCAUUUUUGGAAACUUUGGAAUAUUUGAAAUCAAUUAUAUAGUUGAUUUCAGUAACUUUUAAGUUUAAAAUAAAAUGCCGAAAGCAUUUUGAAAAUAUAUUUCACCCCUGAUAUUUUGUUUUCAACAUUUAUCAGAAAUGAUGAACUUUUCUAAUAGCUAAUUUUGGAUUCUUUAAUUUGCCACCAAAUUUGAAUUGCUUUUGAAUAUAGAGUUGCUAGGGUUUGCUUUUGUUUUCUUUGGUUUGCUUUUUAUUUCAUUUCAUAUACUUGGAUGCAAAGAAGAAGACAUGAGCACAAACUUGUUAUACUCUAUUAGGGAUUCAGGGAUGUGACAGCGUGAUAUGAAGGAGUUGUCAACUAGAGAUAUGCCCUUAGAUGUGUAGGCUAGCCUCUGGUAAUUUUGGUUGCAAUAGAAAUACAUGUUUAGGUGUGGUUUGCUUGCUCUCAACUUGCUAGAAAAUAGUGCUGAUUUGUAGAUGCUGAAAUAUUUCUAAGUCUGAAAUCUGUUAUAUUUUGUUGUUGUCUUGUCAUGAUUUUAUCUGGUGAUAUGUAUCUCUUUUGAGGUUGGUGCAAUGGAGUUAGUUGUAGACUUUAGGACUCUCUAGCAUGCUGUGAAUUUUCAUGCCAUUUGGAGUCAUGUAGCUUAUGGUUUUGCUGCUGUCAAUAUGCCUUCAGAUCAAAAACUGCACUUUCAUAAACUGUGGUUUUCACUAAGUCUGAAACAGUGUGUUAGAUACCAUUUUGUGACUUCUUUUCCUAGUGAUCCAUGCUUCCAUGCUAGGUGUUACUAGUUUUUUGUUGUAGUGCUUCUUGCCCUCUAUCGUCUCAUGCCUUGGUUGAGUAUAUUGGAUUUGGGUAGCUCGUAGUUGUGGGGUGUAAAAAUGAUAUGUGGCUGUUUUUGGCAGAUUGUAGUGAUUUCUUGUUUAGCUCGUAGUUGUUGAACCAUUGCUCCGUUUUGAUGUGUCCUAUAUGAAACUUGCUUAGAAUCUCUUGUAGUGUCAUAAUAUCUUGCUGGUUGUGUGUUUUGGAAUGCUUGUGACUGUCGUUGCACACAUAUUGCAUUCAUGCCAUCAUAUCUUGCGGUGUUCGUAUCUUUUGAAGCGUAGCUCCGUUGGAGAUGUUCUCUAUGUGUAAAUUGUUUGUAACGACGCGUAGAACCAUGUGAACCUAUUUAUUUUUCUGUUUAAUAAACAUUUAAACGUGUUAAUUCAGAUCUGAAAAGAAUUGUAAAUUAACAUGUGAGGUCGUUUCGGAGGUGCUAUAUGUCAUUUCCGACCUCAUUUAAAAUGCCUAGAUAGGUAGAUUAAUUAUGCUUCACCUCUUGCCAUGAUUAACCACAUUUAAUACUGUCGUGUACCUAACCGGGAUAGAAUUAAAUAAUACGUAUGUGGAGUUUCGUCAAUAUGCAACUCGUUGCAUAUUGUACUUCACUUAAUGUGUAGUGUUUGAUUGUUGUGAAUUGACAUGCCAUGUCUUGCAUGUGUCCAACCGUUCAUGCAUCAUAUGUGUUGUGCAUCGUGUGGUGUAUAUCGUGUGUUGAUUCUUGUUUACGGUUUUCUUCGUCUCGAUAGAGUUCCGCAAGCGUAUAGGAAAGUGAGGACCGGUUCGACUACAUCAGUUCGUCUGCUUCACGGAGUCGUUCUUCUUCCAAGCGGGAUCUCAGGCAAGAUGACCAUUUCCCCAAAUACCAUUACUAUAAUUUCCAUGCUAGUUUUACCGUUUAUAUCGAUUAUGUCCCGUUGCCUACCACAUGUUAAAUAUCAGCCUCUCGACAUUGCCAUGAAAACCUUCAACCUGUUCACAACCUAGCAAACCACUAAUUGGCUAUGUUACCGCUUGCUUAACCAUGUGUUAGCGUUGCUAGUUGCAGGUGCAGUUGCUUCCAUGUGAUAAUAUGGGUUCCUUGUUAUAUCACCCUAUUAAAUGCUAUUUAAUUUAAUGCACCUAUAUACUUGGUAAAAGGUGGAAGGCUCGACUUUCUAGCCUGGUGUUUUGUUCCACCUUUGCCCCCUUAGUUUCGGCUACCGGUGCUAUGUUCCAUAAUUGAGCGCUCCUAACACGAGCGGGGUUGUUAUGGGGACCCCCUUGAUAAUUCGUUUUAGAUUAAAGCUGGUCUGGCAAGGCCCAACAUUGGUACUACAUUUUCCCAACAUAAUAAUUUUGUUAAUACUGAAUGCAUAGGGCAUCAUGAAACCGAGGAGUAAUUCAACAUAAUACACGGGGGCAGUGCUGAUGGUGCUGGUCCAAAACUAGAGCCGUUUGCAGGGCCAACCCGGGUCAACUUGGGAGAUUUCUAUCAGGCCACCAUACGUUGUGCUUAUCUGUCGUGUCCUGAGAACGAGAUACGCGGCUCCUAUCGGGAUCGUCGACACGUCGGGCGGCCUUGCUGGAUUAGUUUUACCUUUGAUGAAUGUCUUGUGCAUCGGGAUUCCGAUGAUGCUUUGGGUAAUCUCAGAGUUGAGGUUUUUCACUAAGGAGUCCGUCGAGAUCGCGAGUUUCGUGAUCGAGGAUUUCUAUGCAGCUUGUGGUAAUUUGUGAUGGAUUAGUUGGAGCACCCCUGCAGGGUUAAAUCUUUCAGAAAGCCGUGCCCGCGGUUAUGUGGCAACGUGGAAACUUUGUUUAACACUGGUUCUAGAUAACUUGAAGUUAACUUAAUUAAAAUAUGCCAACUGAGUGCGUAACCGUGACUGUCUCUUUCGUGAGUUCCUUCUUUGAUCGAGGACACGGUGGGGUUAUGUCUGACGUAAGUAGGUGUUCAGGAUCAUUCACUUGAUCAUCAGUAGUUCACGUCCGUUAUGCAUAGAUCUUCCCCCUCUUUAUUCUUGUACUCGUAAGUUAGCCACCUCAUAUAUGCUUAGUCACUUGCUGCAGCCUCACCACUUAACCAUACCUCACCUAUUAAGCUUUGCUAGUCUUGAUACCUUUGGAAAUGAGAUUGCUGAGUUCCCUGUGGCUCACAGAUUACUACAACACCAGUUGCAGGUACAGGUAAAGGUUACUUGACGCGAGCGCAUUGAUUGUUCAUUUGGAGUUGCUUCUUCUUCUUCUUCUUCAUCGAUCUAGGAUGGGUUCCAGGCCGGAAGCCUGGGAUGGCAAGGAUGGACGUUGUCGUGGGUAUAAGCCUGACAGUAGAUGUAUAGGGUACGAAUGAGAUGGGCAGAGUCCUAGCUACGGCGAUGUUGUAUGAGUUCAGGCCCCUCUACGGUGGAGGUAAUAGCCCUACGUCUCAGUGCUCUUGGAGCUGAUUACCGAGUGUAAUAUGGAGUACAAUGUUUUUCUAACCCUUUCACCAGUGGGGGAGGGCGGCUUAUAUAGAGUGCGCUGCCCUCCACAACGGUUCUGAUUCAAGGGUGGAGUAGUGGUGAUUGAAUGCAUGCGUUAUAGGUAACGUAUGCUAUAAAUGCUAGUUAAUGCACCCGGAAACGUACGGCAGUUUCCCUCCAGGGAGGUUACGACGAACCGAGUGUAUCCAGUCGGUAGGUCCGGUGUCCUCCGAGUCUUAGUCUCCGACUGGAUAAUUCUGGGCAUGUUACCGACUGGAUGAUGGGGGCACCGUAAUACAGUCGGGUAUACUUAAGGUCCCGUCCCUUGCGUGGGGUAGUCCUUGGGUAGGACCUGUAGGACAGGCCUAUGACCCAUUGAUACAUUGAGCUUGAAAUUCAUGUUACUAGAACAACUAAUACUAGAAGCUCAUCUUGAGAGAGCGUUACAACAGUCGUGCUAACACUUGGUAAUUGGAGCCAAAAAAUUUCCCACCACCCCAAUUGAUGUGACAUCUUCAACCAUAGAAACAAUGCAUCAGAGAGCCAAUCGUUUAGCUUGAAAGUUGAUGAAAUCACUCCCUAGAGCAGACUUGAAGGAUUUGAUGCGUGAUUGAAGGCAAGCAUGAAGGAGUCAGUCGCUGAGGAACUAUGCCUCUGGAAUCUGGCGAUCGAGAUGUGAAUUGUCAAUCCGCGGGCAUUUGUUGAUGUGUUGUAACAACAAAUGUGGCGACCUUCAGGGCGCUCCUCGGGUCGAUGGCCAUGGAGUCACAACAGUUCAACAAACGGUGACCAACAGUAUUCUUGUGACAUCAAUGGUCCCUUCGACAAAUUGUACGACGAUGUCUCGUUUCCCUUCGAUUCUCCUUCUCCGGAGUUCAACUCUCGGGAUCCCGAGAAUUUUGGUCAGGUGUUUGCACAAGAGGCACAAAACCCACCAUCGAUACCCUUUACGUUGUUCGAUGGCGAGAAUCCAAAUUUGUGGAAGGACAUUUGCGAGUCAUAUUUUGGACAGUGUACUCUUUCGGGGGUGCCGGUGCUACAAGCUCUAGGAGCGUCCAUGUUGUGGCACGCGACCAGAGGGGAUGCAACCGUGCUUGUCGCUCGAGGCGGUCGUGUUGUGACGAGCUUUGGAGCGACGAACGAUGGUGUAAACUAUUUGCUGCGAGCGAUGUCGACCAAAGCUACAAGAAACAACGAACAUUGCUUUGUUCACCAAGCAUGUGAGCAUUUACGGACGCAGCUCCGAGCGGCGCUGACCAUUGUAGUGACCGUCAUCUACCAAAUCUAUGACCGAUCACGAGCACAACUACAAGCGACUUCGACCAUUGCAGCGACAAGCAUCGACAGUAACUACUACCGGUCAUAUGCGCAUCUAAGAGCCCCACGAGGGUGCUGCUUCCGAGUAGGAUGUGAGAUCUUUCACUGGUUGCGACGACUUGACGAUCUAGAUGUUUCCUACACCUGAGUGCACCACAUGCGAGGAUAUGGACAUGACCCCUUUUCUCUCAGCGGCUAGUGUGCAAGAAAAAUGUGCGAGUUCAGAGGGAUAACGAAUCAGACAUUUGAUCCAAUGCCCAAGCAUGGGCCAAUCUUACUGUGUAUGAGACGACCAAUCGAUGCUAAGGUAUAGUCGCUGGAUCACGGAGAAUAAUGUUUAAGAUAUUAAAAAAUGAUACUUCCUCUGAUCCAUAUUAAUUGUCAUGUAAUAACACAUUUUAAUAAGUUAUAUUCAUGAAUAUAAAAAAAAAUUAGAAACCAGAAAAAAAACCUGAAAAUCAGCCAAAUGUAAAACUGGACGGAAAAUAUCGCUACACAUCAUUUCAAUUGUUUGCAAACUGAUGGGGUUAUAGUCCCAGGGUAGGGUCAUAGGCCUGCCCUAUAGGUCCUACCCAAGGACUACCCUUCAUAAGGGACAAGGCCCUUAGUCAGUUCCGACUGAAUUAUGGACUUCCCAUCAUCCAGUCGGUGACGAUCCCUCCAUCAUCCAGUCGGAGACGUGCAUUCGGAGCGUAUCAAACUUACCGACUGGAUUCCACUAUGUAUAUCGUAACCCCCCUGGAGGGCAACGGUCAUACGUUUUCAUGUACCUUUAUUAGCAUUUAAGGCAUACAUUACCUGUAACGUAGGCACUUAUUCGCCACUACUCCACCCCUGUGCACCGAACCGUUGUGAAGGGCCGCGCACUCUAUAUAAGCCGCCCUUCCCCACUGGUGCAUGGGUUAGCAUUUCACUGUAAUCCAUAUUCCACUCGACAUCAAGCUCCCAAGAGCACUGAGACGUAGGAGUUUUACCUCCACUGUAGAGGGGCCUGAACUCAUACAACCUCGACGUAGCCAAGGCUCUGCCCAUCCUUUCGUACCCUACACAUCUACUGUCAGACUUAUACCCACGACAGUUGGCGCCCACCUUGGGGCAGGCGUCUAAGCGACUUCCGGCGAGUUUGUGACUACAUCUUUUCAUCAUGUCAUCCGCUGGAGAUUUGUGCAUGGGUCAUGAGAUCCUCUUCGGCGCUCUCUCCUUCAUCGUCGACGAUUCGGCAUGGCUUCGGGAUGCCCCUCUCGACGUCGAGGCGCUCCCCAGUCGCGGGGCUACGCACUUCCGUGCCGGUGCCCGCGGCAUCCUUCUUCUCCAGCAGUCGGCUCCGGUGUCGAUCUUCGCCCCCGUCACGCACCGCAACAAGCGGUCUCGCCGUCCGCGGCUCCAGCGUUGGGUGCAACAUGCUCAGGCGCGCCAGAACGCGUCUUCACAAGUGGCGGUCCUCGAGUCGGUUGUAGUUGCGACGCCGUCCCAGCGCUCGGACUCAGUUCCGACUGAGUUUCCUUCCGAGUACUUGGGUCGCGGGCCUGCAGCCGAAGUGCACAUGGCCAACUCCCAUGAAAGUCCCCGCCAAACCGGCCAGAACGAGCACGAGGUCGGCGAAACAUCUGGCGCUCGCCGUCAGCCCCGCCGUUCUGCCAGUCGGCGCACUCGUCAGAGCAACGUGGAGGUGUUCCGCACACCCGUCCUCAACCUGGCUGCUGCCGCCAAGAUAGUCGAUUCCCUCCAGCCGAUUGAUUCAGAGGCUGGCAGAGGGAUCGAGCAAAUCCGUGCCCUGUUGCACACGGCGCAGUAGCAGAAUUCGGCGGUCUCCUAGUCGCACAACAGGAUCCACAACAGUUCUGUUCACGCGAACACGCAUCGGUCAGUUUUCAGCCCCGAUUCUCAUCAGCGACACAGAGGAGGCAACCGUUCCAUGAAUCCCGAAGAUCAUCGCCGUUCACGCACCCCUCCGCGGGGUGGGCCCUUUGGGCCCCGACAUCAUGAUGAUCAGCGUUCGGUCGGUGACACUUAUGAUCCAAGGCCCGACGCAAGAGGAUACACCGCACAGAGGAGGGUCGACGGGAUCCGAGCCCACCGUGAUGGUCAAGAUAGAGACCGUCCGAGUGGAAGCAGGAUCAUCCUCUCUGGCCCCGAGUGUUUCAGUCGGGCCAUCCGUUCGGCUGACAUCCCUCCCAACUUCCGAUUGGCGACGGGGAUCAGCAAGUUUACAGGACAAUCCAAGCCAGAAACGUGGCUGGACGACUACCGAGUGGCAGUCCAGAUCGGGGGUGGAGACGACCAGGUCACCAUGAAACAUCUCCCCCUGAUGCUCGACGGCUCGGUACGUGCGUGGCUGAACCAGUUGGCUCCUUCAAGCAUCUACAGCUGGGCAGAUCUGGCCCGAGUCUUCAUCAAGACCUUCGAGGGCACGUGCAAAUGCCCCGCUGGUAUCGUAGAGCUCCAGCAUUGUGUCCAGAAGUAGAAUGAGCCCCUGCGCGAUUUCAUCCAGCGUUGGACAACCCUCUACCACACGGUGGAGAACGUCACAGAGCACCAAGCAGUCUGCGCCUUCAAGGCAGGCGUGCGGUACAGAGAUCUGUACCUGAAGUUCGGUCGGACCGGCGACAUCUCCAUGAGCAAGAUGAUGGAGAUAGCGGCACGCUAUGCCAAUGGAGAAGAGGAGGACCGCAUUCGUAGCGGCAAGCACAAAGCAGUCGCCGAUGGAGAUGGGAAUAGCACUCGGAAACAGAAGCAGAAAACUCCGUCCACUCCGCAGGCAGAGGCCGCAGCCGUUACCAAUGUCAAGUUCAAGGGCAAGGGGAAGGCUCAGUUCACCCCCAAGAAAAAGCAGUUCGGAAACCACAUCCUGGACCGGCCAUGUCCAAUCCACACAAAGAUGGAUGAAGAAGGCAACGCCAUAUUUCCGAAGCAUACCACUCAGCAAUGUCGCCUCCUGAUCCAGGGGUUCGGCGAAGGGCAGCCGAGUGAAAAGGACAAUGAACAAGAUGAAGAGGACAAGGAGGAUCCGUUCCCCCAAGUCCAUGCAACACUGAUGAUUUUUGCUGACGUGAAAAGCAAGAGUCGAUUGAAGCUGGUGAACAGGGAGGUGAACAUGGCCACCCCAACCAACCCCACGUUCCUCAAAUGGUCUCAGACUGCGAUCACCUUUGACCAGUCGGAUCAUCCAGCGCACGUACCCACCCGAGGGAGGCAGGCCCUGGUCGUCGACCCGGUGGUGGAAGGACUCUGACUGCGCAAAGUCCUCAUGGACGGUGGCAGCGGCUUGAACAUCAUGUACGCCGACACUCUCAAGGGGAUGGGCAUUCCGAUGUCCAAACUUAGCGAGAGCAGCAUGUAGUUCCACGGGGUCGUCCCUGGACGAAAGGCCAAGUCACUCGGCCAGAUCGCGUUGGACGUCGUCUUCGGCUCCGACAAGAACUUCCGCAAGGAAAAGCUGACAUUCGAGGUGGUGGACUUCCAGAGUGCAUACCACGCGAUUCUCGGUCGUCCGGCGUAUGCGCAUUUCAUGGCCCGUCCAUGUUACCUAUACCUGAAGCUGAAGAUGCCAGGUCCCAAAGGUGUGAUCACUGUCACAGGCAAUCGGCAGCGGGCCGAGGAGUGUCUGCAGCAGGGAUCGAGGAUCGCCGAUCAGCAGAUGGCUGCCCUCGAGCUCGACGAGUACAAGAAGACAGCCGACCCCGCUGACUUGAUGCGUUCAAAGAAGCCAUCUUCGGAGUCCGCAUUCCAGUCGGUGGGAGAAACGAAGAAGGUCAGCAUCCACCCGACGGACGACACUGCUGCCCCGACGAACAUCUCCACCGCCCUCGAUCCAAAAUAGGAAGCCGAGCUCAUCCAAUUCCUCCGUGAGAACUGGGACAUUUUCGCAUGGAAGCCCGCUGACAUGCCAGGUGUACCCAGGGAGUUGGUUGAGCACCGACUGCAUGUGGAUCCUGCUGCUCGGCCUGUCCGAGAACGCCUGCGAUGGUCCGUCGCGCACAAGAGGAAGGCAAUCGGAGAGGAGGUGGCUAAACUUUUGGCGGCCAAUUUCAUUCGCGAGGUACACCACUCCGAGUGGCUCGCCAAUGUUGUUAUGGUACCCAAGAAGGACAAGUCUCUCCAAAUGUGCAUCGACUUCAAGCAUCUCAAUAAGGUCUGACCGAAAGACCAUUUCCCGCUCCCCCGCAUCGAUCAAGUUGCCGAUUCGACUGCGGGUUGCGAGCGUUUGUCAUUCCUUGAUGCCUACUCGGGCUAUCAUCAGAUCCGUCUGUAUGGCCCCGAUGAAUUAAAAACAGCCUUCAUCACCCCAUUCGGGUGCUUCUGCUACAUCACUAUGCCAUUUGGUUUGAAGAAUGCAGGAGCAACUUUUAUGCGCAUGAUCCAAAAAUGCCUCCUUGACCAGAUCGGUCGAAAUGUGGAGGCGUAUAUGGAUGAUAUCGUAGUCAAGUCACGCAAAGGUUCCGACCUGCUGACUGACUUGGCAGAAACAUUCGCCAACCUUCGUAGGUACGAUAUCAAGCUCAACCCAGCCAAGUGUUCAUUCAGUGUUCCCAGCAGAAAGUUACUCGGUUUCUUCGUUUCCGAACGAGGGAUCGAUGUCAAGCCCGAAAAUAUCGGGACCAUCGUCCGAAUGGAGCGGUCGGUCAGAAUACACGAUGUUCAAAGGCUCAUAGGUUGCCUAGCGGCUUUAAGCAGGUUUAUCAGUCGACUCGGCGAGAAGGCACUACCUCUGUACCGACUCAUGAAGAAAUCAGAUACUUUCGAGUGGACAGACGAAGCCCAAAUCGCAUUCGACGACCUCAAAGUCCUACUUUCCACCCAGCCGGUUCUUACUGCUGCGCUCAAUAAAGAACCCCUUCUUCUGUACAUCGCGGCUACAAAUCAAGUCGCCAGCACUGUUCUUACAGUCGAACGUGAAGAAGAAGGCAAAGCAUACAAGGUUCAGCGGCCAGUGUAUUAUGUCUCUGAAGUCUUGACUCCUUCCAAGCAGAGGUAUCCCCACUAUCAAAAACUUAUUUACGGGAUUUACAUGACUGCGAAGAAGGUGGCUCAUUAUUUCCAAGACCACUCGGUGUCUGUCGUUUCUGAUGCUCCGUUGUCGGAAAUCCUCCACAAUCGGGACGCAUCGGGCCGAGUGGCGAAGUGGGCAAUGGAGAUGUUAUACUGCGACAUCAAGUUCGAGGCCAAGAAAGCUAUAAAGUCUCAAGCUCUGGCUGACUUCAUAGCAGAAUGGGUAGAACAACAGCAACCGACUCACAUCUACUCGGCUCAUUGGACAAUGUUCUUCGAUGGGUCCAAGAUGUUGAAUGGCUCCGGCGCUGGCGUUGUGAUCAUAUCGCCAAAAGGUGACAAACUCAAGUAUGUGUUGCAGAUACACUUCGAUUCCUCCAACAACGAGGUAGAGUAUGAAGCUCUUCUUUAUGGAUUGCGCAUGGCCAUCGCACUCGGCGUCCGUCGCCUAAUGGUCUAUGGCGAUUCAGAUUUGGUAGUUAAUCAAGUGAUGAAGGAGUGGGACGUAAGGAACCCCACCAUGACCACAUACUGCAAUGCGGUGAGGAAGCUCGAGAAAAAGUUUGAAGGUCUGGAACUCCACCAUGUUCUGCGACUGAAAAACCAAGCAACUGAUGAAUUGGCGAAACUUGGAUCCACUCGGAGACCAGUCCCGAGUGACGUCUGCCUCGAGCACCUUCACCUUCCCUCAGUUAAAGAAGAUCCUUUCACAGAGGAACCAGUACAACCUAAGAGCUCGACAGAUCCGACUGAAGUCGAAGUCCCUGUUGUGGUUGAUUUGAUCAUGGAGAUUCUUGCUAUCAUCCCCGAUUGGACUGUAUCGUUCAUUGCAUACAUCCUGAGGCAAGAAUUACCAGAAGACGAAGUUCAAGCCAGACAGAUCGUCCGCAGGUCGAAGUCGUUCACCGUCAUUGAUGGCCAGUUGUACAAGGAAAGCGUUUCAGGCGUCCUUCAGCGAUGCAUCUCCCCUAAGGAGGGACAGUUAAUCCUGGAAGAAAUUCACUCGGGAACCUGCGGUCAUCACGCCUCCUCAAGGGCAAUUGUCGCCAAAGCAUUCAGAGUUGGCUUCUUCUGGUUGCAAGUGAAUGAAAUGGCGAAGGAUAUGGUCGACCGAUGUGAAGGCUGUCAGUUCUACUCGAACAAGUCGCACAAGCCAACAUCUGCGUUGAAGACAAUCCCUCUUGUUUGGCCGUUUGCAGUGUGGGGAUUAGAUACAGUCGGUUCAUUCAGGACAGGCCAAGGAGGAUUCACUCAUCAGUUGGUGGCAGUCGACAAGUUCACCAAGUGGAUUGAAGCCAAACCCAUCAAGAAGCUCGACGCCCUUACGACCAUCAAGUUUGUCAGGGACAUCAUCUCCAGAUUCGGGGUACCGCACAGCAUAAUCACUGAUAAUGGCACAAACUUUGACUCGGACAGAUUCAAAGGUUUCUGUACAGGCCAAGGUAUCCGAGUGGAUUUUGCAUCUGUGGCACAUCCCCAAACAAACGGGCAAGCAGAGCGGGCGAAUGGACUUAUUCUUCAAGGGUUGAAGCCUCGACUUCCGCGAGAAGUUGGACAUGCUGCCGGCGCAUGGGUCACCGAGCUGCCUUCAGUGUUGUGGGGCCUCCGCACAACUCCAAAUAGAUCUACAGGGCGAUCCCCGUUCUUCCUCGUUUACAGAGCAGAGGCAGUCCUUUCGAGUGACUUGCUUCACAACGCUCCACGAGUCGAACUUUUUUCCGAAGCCGAAGCAGAGCAAGCUAGGCAAGACGGAGUGGAUCUUCUAGAAGAGGAGCGCGAGAUGGCACCGACUCGCUCAACCAUUUAUCAACAAGAUCUGCGGCGUUUUCACGCGCGACACGUCAGGAGUCGUACAUUCCAAGCAGGCGUCCUGGUGCUCCGAGUGGAUCAACAGAGACCUCACAAGUUGGCUCCCGCCUGGGAAGGACCCUUCAUCAUCUCCAAGGUGCUGAACAACGGAGCAUAUCGACUCUACAACCUCGAUAGGGAAACGGACGAGCCGCGAGCAUGGAACGGAGAUCUCCUGAAGCGCUUCUACACGUGACCGUCGACUGAAGCAAUGUAAAGAACAAGUAUCGUUGAAGUAAUACAAAGCAGAUUGAAUUUUUGCAGAUUCAAAAUUCUUCCACGUUGGCAGACUCCGGUCUCAAAAAAAAACUUAGUUGCGAUCCAGAAUCGCNNNNNNNNNNNNNNNNNNNNNNNNNNNNNNNNNNNNNNNNNNNNNNNNNNNNNNNNNNNNNNNNNNNNNNNNNNNNNNNNNNNNNNNNNNNNNNNNNNNNNNNNNNNNNNNNNNNNNNNNNNNNNNNNNNNNNNNNNNNNNNNNNNNNNNNNNNNNNNNNNNNNNNNNNNNNNNNNNNNNGCCUAAGUACAAACUUUCUCCGAGUGUGCACUAAACGUUGCACUCGGGGACUUAGCCGCGAUCAAGAAUCGCCUAAGUGCAAACUUUCUCCGAGUGUGCACUAAACGUCGCACUCAGAGACUUAGCUGCGAUCCAGAAUCGUCUAAGUACAAACAUUCUCCGAGUGUGGACUAAACGUUGCACUCGGGGACUUAGCUGCGAUCCAGAAUCGCCUAAGUAAAAAAGCUUCCUUCGAGUGUAUCUUAGAGAUCCACUUGGAGACUUAGCAGACCCUCAUUGAGGCUCAUGUAGAUGUCAGGACAACUGACAAUUACAUGAGUAGCAAAUACCCUCAUUAAGGCUCAUGUAGAUGUCAAGACAACUGACAAUUACAUGAGUAGCAACUCGCUCCGAGUGCGACCUUACUGUCGCGCUCGAAGACUUAGCUGCGAUAACGAAUCGCCUAAGUAAAGAACUCCCUUCGAGUGUUUCCUAGAGAUCCACUCGGAGGCUUAGCAGACCCUCAUUGAGGAUCAUGCAGAUGUCAAGACAACUGACAACUACAUGCUCCACCUGUUUGCCACUGGAUCCACCAAGAAAAGCCAAACAGAAACCACGAGCCAAAAUCGUGUCAAGAAUUUUUUGGCAAAGGAAGAGCAAAAUAUUCGAUUCAAAUUCAAAGUUGGUUUAAAGAUAGUCGGCUCGGUGUAGAUCAAGCUUAUCCACACCGAACCACGAAUGUGACGGCCAACAGCAGUGGACAAAGUUUGAUACAAGUACCACUCGGCAUACCGAGGUAAAGUUUUUUAAGCGUCGUCAGGACUGGCACUGGGACUGGCAGGCUCCACGAAAGUGUCGAGGUCGAUCCCGUGUGCGAUCCGAGUGGCGCUCUCAAGGAAGGUCUCCAUGAAAUCUUCGAAUCAAAGCUUCUUGGUGUUGGCGACCUGCAGCGCCUUCAGCUUCUCUCCGUGAGCUUCCUUGCAGUGCACUCGGACCAGCGACAGUGCCACGUCCGCACCACAGCAAGCAGCAGACUUCUUCCACGCCUGCACUCGGUUCGGGACGUCCUCCAGUCGAGUCAUCAACCCUUCCAUCUCCCACCGGGACUCGUCUUCGGGCCACAACUCCUUGUCGAUUCGGCCGACGACCUCUCUCAGGCGACCGAUGAAAGGUCCCACUUUGCCCAGGCGAAUGUGCACUCGGAGCAUGUCUCGAUUGGCGUCGUCGCCGAGUGGAACGUUCAGAAUAACCGACCGCUCAACGUCAGCUGCUUCAGCCUCAGCAUCCAUACAAAAAUCUGCAAAGACAAGACGAGCAGAAAGUAAGCGCAGAAUGAAAUACAAAGUCAAGAAGCACUCGGAAUAAACUUACCACCGAGAAGCGCAAUCAUCUUCCUAGCCCAGUCACUGACGUACUUCUCCUGCGAUAUGCACCGACUGUUCAUCGACCUCAUCUGACCCAUCAGCUCAGUUCUUUGUUUCCCCAUUUUCUCCAUUUUCGGCCACCAAUGCCUUGUUUGCCUCACGGGACUCCUCCAAAGACUUCUCUCGUUCAGCAAGAGCACCCUUCACACCAGCCAAGUCAUGCACAGCUGCCUCCAGUUCCGCAGCAAGCUGAAUCUUUUCAGCCUUCACAGCGUUGUAUGCUGAUCCCAUCUCGCAAGUCUUCUGCAAAUCAGCACGAAGAGACGAUCAGACACAUUCAACAAGGAAAACAAUAAAAGCUCUAAGUUCUUCAGACCCCUGCCGACGCAAGCAGUCGACAACGGUCUCGGGGACUACACCCAGUGGGUUCACUAAGAGUGACCCCACUGGCAUGAAGCUCAAACAUGUCAGCCCUAUUGAGCUACGUAACAAAAAACAAGCCUAUGAGGCUACUAUUACCCGACCUGAGUAAAAUUACUCUCGGGGACUACUUCCAGUAGGUGCACUCGGAGUGCCCCCACCGGUAACAUUCGGACAGAUUAGUUUUGAUCUGAUCAAGUUAAAGAAAAUGUAUAUAAAGACAACUGUCGGUGCAAGCACUCGACAGAAGUCUCGGGGACUACACCCACUGGGUUCACUCAGAGUGAACCCACUGCAAAAUAAUCCUACUGUAUCCGAGUAUAUCGCUCAAACACCCACUCGGUUACAAGAGGAAAGCAAAUACUUACUAACGCACUUACUCGGAUAUCGUCCCGGAGCUCCAAGCUUCGCUUGUACAAAGAUGCGAUGGAGUCGUACGCACUCUUAGCAUCACCCGCCAUCAACUCCACCUGCACCAUGGCUUCCUUGGCAGCUCCCACUUGAUCUUCCGGGAGGCGUUGGGCGUUGUACUGGACGGUCGACGGACCUGGCACGACAAGAGACUCCUUGGGCAUCCCAAGUCCUGCUCCAGUUGGUUCAGCCGCGACGAGCACCGUUUCAGUCGACGACACCAUCUCGGUUGGCGGUGCGUCCACGGCGGGAGCGGUAGCAGAUGGAACAACCUCAAGGACAGGCACCGAAGCUUGCUCGGACCUCUUCUGGUUGUCCUCCUCCAGAUGAAUCACCUCUGAAGGAAGCCCGACUGAACGACGUGAGACCACAGAAAAAAGGGCAAAAUCAAAGACAGAAUUCGCAAAACAAUAAUGUAAGCUCUCGGAGUCGUCACGACGUACCUUGCUGGGAGGUGCAACGUUGUCCGUAACCAUGGGAUCGUCUUCCUGGCGUGGCAGAGAAGUGGCGGAGGUAGCAGCUCUGUCGAGUAAAAUCCACUCGACCAAUAAGCAUGAGUUCAAUCAAAUACUGGAAGAAGUUAGGAGAACAAUACACUUACACUGAGGCAACGGGAACGGCGAUCCUCAUCCGCGGCAAGGCCUUCCGAGGCUUGGAUCCACUCGGUUUGGCCACCUUAGAAGGCUGGCCCGCGGGCUUAGCAGCAGAGUCCCUGGUCCUCUUUGUUCUCCGAGCACUCGAAACCACAGGAGUAGCUGUCAAGGCACUCGGAACCACGGGAGGAGCUGGCGGGGCACUCGGGGCCGCUGGAGGAGCCGACAGAGUCAUGGGUUCGUGACGGCGCUUAGUUCGAGGCUCUGGUGGUGGGGGUGGCGAGCUCUGCUCCUCAUCUUCCCCCUCUUCCUCUUCGGACUCCUCCUCCGUCUCCCCACUGUCGGAGACGUACUCGACGCUCUCCAUGCUGCCCUCCUGGCUGCCUUCCUCUUCUUCAGCCGGAUUCCCGUUCGAGACGGGAGAAAACCAGUUGGUCCACGCCUGCACGAGAUACAGUCGACAACAUCAGACGUCAGACAGUGAUACAAGAAAAAGCGAUAAAUCUAAGACAAUUGUGAGCACUCGACAAGUUAUACUCACCUCAUUCGGAGGAGGGUUGUCUGCGCGGAAGGGCUUCACUCGCCGGGCUCCUCUGGGGUUAUCGCAGGCGCCUGUGAUGCUGCGGACCCAUGCCAUCACAACCUCCCCGGUCACGCACUCGGGGUGAGUCCGAGUGGAGUCCUCAGGCCCCGUGUAGUGCCACAUGGCGUGGUGUUGAGCUUGCAAAGGCUGGAUGCGCCGACCCAGAAAAAUCUCCAGCAAAUCUGUGCCAGUGACUCCCUUGCAGACGACAUCUACCAGCGCUUCAACCAGAGGCUGAAUCUGGAUCUUUUCCAUCUUCGUGAGCGCAAGCUGCCUAGGCGGAGCCGGUCGGUCUAGGCUAAAAGGUGGCAGUCCAGUUGCGGCAUUCGGACAAGCGACGUCCUGGCAGUAGAACCAAGUCGACUGCCAGUUCCUAACGGACUCAGACAACUGAAGAGCGGGAUAGCUACUUUUGUUUUUCUUCUGGAAGCCUAAACCUCCGCAGAGCUGGAGGAUAUGAGUUUUGUCAUCCGACUGGCUAAGUCUUUUGAUGGUUUGGGAUCUAGCGGAGAAGAUGUGCUUAAAGAGCCCCCAAUGGGGAGGACAACCAAUAAAACACUCGCAAAGCACGGCGAAGGUAGAAAGAUGAGCUAUUGCGUUGGGAGGAAAAUGGUGGAGCUGCGCCCCGAAGUGGUUCAUGAUACCUCUGCAAAAGGGAUGAGGAGGCAGAGAGAAGCCUCGGUACACGUGACUGAGCAGCAAGACGCGCUCCCCUUCCUGGGGCGCCGGCUCCGUCUCGCCCUCCGCCGGCAGCCUCCACGACUUGUUCUCGAUCAUACCUUGCUCCACCAGCUCCAGCAUGUCGUUCGUCGUCACCGUGGAGGGGAGGAAAUCCCCCUGGAUCCAACCCGUCGGCAGUGCCCGAUGUCGCCGCUGAACAGGAGCCGCCGCCUUCUUCUUCUUCCGCGCCUCGAGCUUGCUCGUCUGCCCCUUCGUCAUGGUGGAGGCCGCAGAUCCGCGGGGGAGGAGAGAAAGGAAGAAGCUUGGGGUGCGCAAGAAGUCACGGGAGAAGCGGGGCGAGUGCGAGUUAUCAGGCGAGCGCAACGAGAAACCCUCGCUGGAGAGGUUUAAAUAAGGUUCCGACUGGGUCACUAGCAGGUGGCCCCGAAAUCUUAUCCCCCGACCGGUUGCUGCGAUAUUAGUGGAGGAGAUGAAGGCGCGGUAAUCGAGGCGGCAGAAACUACUCGAUGACGAUGUCGUCAUCCCCGCUGAGCGCGCGGCAACCGAAAUUUGAGGAUCCCAGAAAAUCCGCCGCUGUCAGUUGACCGGUCACGUCAAAAGAUUCCGCGGAAGCACUCGGUCUCUGACGGUUCGUUUCACAGAUAUAUCCACUCGGAUCACUGGUCAAGAGGAUAAAAUGGAUCGAGGCAAACAACGCCAAAGUCGCAUCCAUACCAGCCGGAUCCGUACUCCAAGCAUCGCUUCGUCGUUCCAACCCCGAUCCAUUCGGGGACUAAUGAUGGGGUUAUAGUCCCAGAGUAGGGUCAUAGGCCUGCCCUAUAGGUCCUACCCAAGGACUACCCUUCAUAAGGGACAAGGCCCUUAGUCAGUUCCGACUGAAUUAAGGACUUCCCAUCAUCCAGUUGGUGACGAUCCCUCCAUCAUCCAGUCGGAGACGUGCAUUCGGAGUGUAUCAAACUUACCGACUGGAUUCCACUCUGUAUAUCAUAACCCCCCUGGAGGGCAACGGUCAUACGUUUUCAUGUACCUUUAUUAGCAUUUAAGGCAUACAUUACCUGUAACAUAGGCAUUUAUUCGCCACUACUUCACCCCUGUGCACCGGACCGUUGUGAAGGGUCGUGCACUCUAUAUAAGCCGCCCUUCCCCACUGAUGCAGGGGUUAGCAUUUCACUGUAAUCCAUAUUCCACUCGACAUCAAGCUCCCAAGAGCACUGAGACGUAGGAGUUUUACCUCCACUGUAGAGGGGCUUGAACUCAUACAACCUCGACGUAGCCAAGGCCCUGCCCAUCCUUUCGUACCCUACACAUCUACUGUCAGACUUAUACCCACGACACAAACCAACCCGUGAUUGGAUGGUAUCCCCUGUCCAUCAGAGUUCAAGUUCCAGACUUGACGUUGGUGAUUGCAUUUUCCUGAAUUUAUUUCAGGUCUUCCGACGAUGUGCUUUCAGUGGGAGGAGACGUUUCCGUCGACAACGAAGUCGACAGUGGCCACUUCGUCAAUCUUAAAAUGAUGUGCCGAUUUAGUCUCUCGAAGGUGCUCAUAGAGAUAGGGUGUGCGUGCGUGUGUUCAUAGAAAUGAGUGUACAUUUCAUUCAUGAAAAAAAGAAGAUGUACGCUUGUAUGUGAUCGAGAUUGUACUGUGAAAAAAAUCUAUUGUUGGGUUGCUCACGGAAACGCCGAGGCUGAAACGGGCCCAAUAAAUCGGUCUCACGCGCGCAGUCCUCCUGCAAUACAGACCUCCUGGCUCCGAUUUCGAUCGAAUUGACCAACUCCCGCAAAAGAAAACGAUUGGAGACAGAAACGCCGAGUGAGGCCUGGCUCCUUCCCCGCGACCAAAAGCUUCAGGCGACGGCGACGGCGGCGGCGCAGGUAUCCAUCCCGAUUCCCCGUCCCUCCUCCUCCUCUCUCCGGCGGCGGCUUGCCUUCAAAUCCCCUAGGCAGCCGCCCCUUUCCCUCCUCCUGCAGCAUCCCUCCUCUCCAUCCCUCACCUGCACGACCGGCGUAGGCCUUCCACAUCUCGCCCAUCUCCGGCCGCGGCAGGCCAUCUCCUCCCAGGCCCACAGCGGCCCUCACGUGCCUCCCCAUCUAUUCUUGCCGUCGGAAACCAUCUCCUCUUCCAUCUUAUCCUUCCCCUACCUUGGAUCCCCUUCUUUCCCUUCCUUGGAUCCCCUUCUUCCCCUUCCCUGGAGCUGGAUGUGUGGGGAAACAGGCUCCUGGCACACUCGGGAGGCUGAUGUUACUCUGCUUCCUCGGUGGUACUGGUACAGCUCGUUCCGGUUUGCUCUGGAUCGAGCCGUAGCUGCCAUCACAUUUUACAGGGAGCAACAGCGAGCCUACAGGACAGUCUGCCUGUGCGAUGCCGAUGCGGGCCGGUUGCAUGCGCGCCAGGGACGUCUUCGUGCGGCCAACGCCGAGCUGGGUAGCAAGCUAGACUCUACUGCGGUAUUUCCGUAUGAGCUAGCAUCAAUCAAGGUGAGCAAAGCGACCGUGAACCAGUUCACCUGUAGCCUCUACCCGUGGAGUUUCCAAACCGCAUUUUACAGUUGUAUAGUAUCACAAUGGUUUCCAUCCGGGGCUGGUAAUUUACAGUUGGAAAAUGAUGACGUUUGUAAGAAUUUCUGGGUUGCCAAACAGGGCCUAAGCAAUUAACAAACAUGUUCAUGAAUGAGCUUAAAAAUUGCCAAAAAAUACAUACCCCCAGUCUAAUAAAUCCAUCUAAUAUAUAAUUUGUAUUUGCAGUGUGUCACCUGGAUAGUUCAUUCGAGCCAUAUGGCGUCGUCAUGCAUUUCUAGAAUAUUAUUUAAUUUUUAUUGUAUAUAAUCAUUCAAAUAUAAUCACACACUGUAUAAAUUCUGAUUUGAUGCUUAUAUAACAAAACACUGUCCAAUUCCAUAGUUUGCCAUUCAAACAUGAUUUGGUAUUGAAAUUUCACCGAGUUUCCACCAGCCAAUUCAAUGGGCAUCAAACAAGCGAAUUCGUGUUCAUGACCAUUACAGUUUCCUAAAUGAAUUGAAGUUGAAACCAAUUUAAUAUGGAGGCCUCCAAUACAGACAUCCAAACAUAGCGUUGGUGAAAACACACAAGAGCCAAUAGAAAAAACCGUAGUCAGAGGAUGGACGGGGAAAAACCAUCUAUAAUGGUCGGCCCAUGUCCUAUAUUGCGAAGAAUAUGAUUUUCCCCAUCGACACCCUUCCAGAUCACACAGCGGCACCAUCUAAAGAAAAAAUCACACACCGGCGGGCUCGCCGCCGCCUCUGUCUGCUUUCUGCGGCUUGUGCUGUUUCCUAAAUGAAUUGAAGUUGAAACCAAUUUAAUAUGGAGGNNNNNNNNNNNNNNNNNNNNNNNNNNNNNNNNNNNNNNNNNNNNNNNNNNNNNNNNNNNNNNNNNNNNNNNNNNNNNNNNNNNNNNNNNNNNNNNNNNNNNNNNNNNNNNNNNNNNNNNNNNNNNNNNNNNNNNNNNNNNNNNNNNNNCAAUUUAAUAUGGAGGUCUCCAAGCUGUGUGUUGGAGAAUAAAUUGGAAUGCAAAUUUGUUGUCGAUUUCAAAGUGUUCUUCCACGAUUGCAAUGACGUAAUCAUGAUUGAUUUCUCGAAUUUUUUAGGAGGGAGGGAUUUGAAAUUGCUGCGUACCUCGAGUCCUUAGUCUCGUCCUCUCCGGCGAACGGCCAACAGCAGGAAGGUCCACCUCCUCCCGCCAACCCCCCUCCCCGCCCCCCUUCCCUCCUCCCGCCACCCCCUUUCCCCUCCUUCCGCCACCCCCUUACCCCUCCAGAUCUAGCUGCAGGGUAGCGCCUCUGCUCCAAUCCAGCACCACUGCUCCUCUCCUAUGUGCAUCAGGUGACCAUCAAUGUAUCUCCCCGGCCCCCCCUCUCCCCCUCUCCUUGCUCUUCCUCCCCAUGCUAGUGCUAUGUUUCUUCUGUAUCUGUCCUCUCUGUUCUAAUUUCUGAAUGUGAUGUACAUGUACUGCCUGACUGCCUGCUUCACUGCCGCUAUCUGUAGAGAGUAGACUGCUGCUAGUGCUAAUGCUAUUGUAAAUUGCUAGUGGCUGAUGCUUUGAUUAAUUUGGUGAUUUAGUUUGUUGUCAUACAUAUUACAGAAUUAGGUUAUGUCUAUGAAGUUGUGAUUUAAUUUCCUAUCAUUCACCAUAAGGUUGUGUCUAUGAUGUCGCCACGUCAUACGCCAUAAGUGUUAUAAUGUUAUGAAGGGGGUCGGUCACCAUAAAACGCGCUACGCCAUAACAACAUUGGUCUAUUCAGUGAUUAAAUUUGGAAAUAAUAUAAUGGAGGAAAUUUGGGGGAACAAGCAGCAGGGGUUACCCUCGGCGUUGCCUGGUUUGUGACCAAUGGGAUCAACUGUGGUCUGCAGCAUGGCAACAGUUCGUCCACGUGCUGGAUCAGAAAGUUCUCAGAUUAUUGCUGAUAGAGCCUGAACUCUCGUUCCCCAAAACCUGUUAGUGUCACCAUUGCAGGUGUGACUAUCAUGUAGUACCAGUCUGAUUGUUGAUGUUAGGUGCGAUUUAAUCUGAAAUCUGUUUGUUCUGUGUGAUAUCACAGCGUGCCCCCUUUGAAAGCGGGUAUUAGUUAAUCAUGGUGUUCAGCAAGGUGGAAGUGAACUUGAAAAGACUGCUUGAGGCGGCCCCCCGCCAGCAGAAUCAGGCUAAGCUUGUCCAUGUAAGUGUAGCUCCUCUAAUCUUCUUAGAUUUGUACCAUUCUUAAUUUCUGUUCAACAUCGGAGACGGCAAUGCUCCGUAAUUAACUUGAACGGACGAGAAGGAAGGUAUAGCUUCCAUGUGGAUCCUUUUGUUGUUAAAAUUAGUAUAAGGAAAUUUCUUAAUGGAAUUUGCUUGCUUCAUUCUGUUUUUGUUCAACUUUAACAGGUGGUAGCUAAUGGAUAUCGUCAUUUUAAUCUUUAUCAUUUUGUCUGAAUCAUGUACUGGCACUGACAGCCUCCAUUUGCAGUACAUAACCACAGCCAGGGAGCUGUUGGAGCAGCUUGGAGCUGAAAUUACACCAGAAGGAAUAUCAAGGUAUGGUAUAGUGUUGUGUGAUAUUGGAGGAUUAAUAUGUUGAUGGUGGUACAGCCUGCAAGCUGCAAUCUGUGUUCCAGCUAGCAUUUGUUGAGGAUCCAUAAUUAUAGAAAGAAAUGCAACCGGUAUAUGACAAGAUCGUAACCAUCAAUGUUGUAGUCUAAUAUUAAAUUAUAGUGUACUCUUGCUCCUAGUUUGUGAAUUUAGUGUCUCCUUCCAAGGUACCAAUACUUAAAUCAUGCCAAUGCAUCUGUACCAAUACCACCAUCCAUUUAUAUGUAUUUCCUAUUAAGAUAGAGGAUUAGUGGUUGUUAGUCAUUGAAUACAGUUUGCUGCCAGCUUGCUUACAUUGAUCGUGUGUUUCAGCAUUUCAACUUCUCCAUAAUGUUGCUAUAGGAAUGGGCCCAAAAUUUGAUAGGAACUCAUGACGAAUGCCACUAUAGCUUGUAGCUUACAUAUUUAAAAGCUUCUCUUUGUACAUUAACUGGACUCCAGAUGUACCAUUCUUCUUCAGUAUAAAAGAGCCCAUGCUUCUCCACUCAAUAAAGACACACAAAUCUGGAUACUCUUUUUCUUUUGAAUUCAUGCAAAUCAGGAUACUCUAUCUGUAAAGAUACUCUCCUUGCUUGACAAAAGAAAUCUUACAUGAAGGUUCAAACUACAAAUUUUCCUGAUUUUCUUCCAUUUGAUGCCUGCAUUUUGACAAUGAGAAUGUCUGAUAUACCGCCUGCCUUUUCAUCGGCGAGCUUAAUGCUGAUAAUCUUGUGUGGAGCAAAGCAAGUUGUCCUUUUCUCUUUACGCGUGCAUUCCCAUGAUCAGAACAUGUUUAUUCAUGACUUCCUUCUUGAUUCAGUGUUUCAAAAGCUAAGCUCAGUGAGUAUUCAGAAAAGAUUGAAGCACUAGCUGCCACGCUUGCUUCUCUAGUGGUAUGUGUUUAUCAUGUUUAUAUCGAUAUGCUACAUACCUCUACAUGUAACGGUGCAUACCACUGUUGCUCAUACAAUUUAGUUUCUAGAUGCACUUUCAUUACAGUACUAUAUUUUUCGAUGCAGCCAGAAAAUGAAAAUCUGGUUGAUGAGAGUAGAGAACAAGACAGCUCUUAUGAAAGAGAAAAGGUUGGGAGUCCAAUAUCCUUAUCAUCAGGAUUGCGGAGGAGAUCGACGUAAGUGAAAUUUGGUCCUUUUAUAUGUUGACUUUUCUUAAAGUUCCAACUAAUGGACCAAUGGAUGCAAUUAAAUAGGGCUCAGGUGGAGGUUGGACCAAGCAGUCAUGAGAGAAAAGAAAGAGAAGCUGGAGCACCUAUUAAAUUGGAUGCAGAAGCUCAAGCUCACAUUGAGAAGCAUAGGUAUGUCCCCCUUUUUUGCAAGUUUCUUUGGACCACAGUCUCUGGCUUAAUGCUCCCAUUAUUCUUAUCCACAUGAGCAACCAGUUUAUUGAUCUAUUUAUUGACUGGUCUUUAGUGACUUUUCUGUUAUGAGAAGUUGAAAGCUGUAAUCACUGUUAUAUUUUAUUAUUACCCCUUUCUUUUAAUGGUUUAAGAGCAAAGCAUGGAAAGUUCAGGGUCAUACAAGAUGAACAACUAAAGUCCUGUUCGGUAUCGCUCUGCUCCACAGCUCUCUGCUCCCGGAGCUGGUAGAGCUGUAGCUGAAAUGACGGAGCUGCAAUUUCCUGGCUCCGUGGAUUCCGGGAGUUGGUAGAUUACCGAACAGGGUUUAAAUAUACUGGCUACCCUCUUACUGUGUUAGAUCUCCCAACUGCACAGGAAGCUGCAAGAAGAUUUAACUGACGAAAUGGUUGACCUAGCACGCCAGCUGAAGGAGAGUAGCCUUUUAAUGAACCAGUCCGUGCAAGAUACAGAGAAGGUAGCCUUUUCGGUUGCCUCGGCGUUGUUUUAUCUUUGCGUCAAGUUACUUCAGUUCCCUUUCUGCUGGGCAUUUACUGAGAAUGCUCACUUGCUUGUGUACUUGUGAUUCAGAUCCUCGAUUCCACCGAGAGAGCUGUGGAGCAUAGCCUGGCGAGCACCGGGCGUGCAACGGCGCGAGCCUCGGAGGUCUACUCGGUGGCCUCCAAGACAACCUGCUUCCAGUGGCUGCUCAUCUUUCUGAUGACCUGCAUGUUUGUCAUGGUGGUUCUGCUCAUACGGAUCACCUGAUGUCGCCGUGGCUACUGAAAACCGCGUCACCAGGAGCCGUUAAGAUAGUUCUGCGGUCUUGUCAACAGGCCUUAUAUGAAGAUAAACUUGAGUUCCGGAGGAGCACUGUUGCUCACCAUCGUUAGGCGGUUUGCUGAAGAAAGAUGUCCCGUUGGGAGAACGCAUCGGCUCACUGUUAAUUUUGGAAAUACCAAAUGUUCUUGUUCAUGCACAUUUUCUGAUCUGGAAAUUCUGGUCUAAAAAGCAUGUAGAUGUUUCCCCUCAAACAAUGUAUAUAAUUCAGUCGAUAGCUUCAAUCCUAGCCACACACGAUCGAUCCAAACGUUGACUCUGUAUCCCUGGGGCAGAGCAUACGGUUCCAGGAGCAAAUCGAACAGAGCCCUCGGCCGCACUUGAGCUGGGCGCUCGCGACACCCACGGCGCAGUAGAUUCAUGGGCUUCGGUGGGGUUUUCGCCUGGUGAGUGGUGACGACUGUUGUAGUCAGCUCUGAUCUGCUCGUGGACUUGGUAGCUUCUUGGCAGAGAUUUGUGUAGCUUGCCAAGUGCUUACUACCUUGUGCUACUCCUUGCACGCGUGGUUUUUGAUGGAUUACUUGAGACUAGCUGGCGGUAGUUCAUAGGCAAAAAAAAAAAAAAAAAGCUGAAAAGAUGCCACGGGAGAUUGAGAUUGCGAUGGUUAAUGACUUAGCGAUCGGACGUCACAUCAUUCCUUGAGAGCCAAGUAGCUCUACAAGCAGCUGCUGCUCCCACUGCCACUACAAUCUAAUCGCUCCGUGUAAAAAAAAACACUCUUAUAUUAUGUGACAGCAAUUGAAACAAUGGGUACCUGAAUCGUGGAUGCUAAAAAAUUACUGAAAACUUGUGCGCAUUUGUUGUUGUGGCAAUUUUGACCAACACAAACCUUGCACAUAAAUCCUCAAAUUACUGAUAAUCAACUUGAUAUGUUGCUUUUCUGGACUCUGUGCUGUGCUAUCUUCAUGGCGUUGCUCGUUUGAGGAUUGAGAUGCUACUUCCUAAGUCCGAAAUUACUUGUCACAAAAAUGGAUACAGAUAAAUGUAUGUAGAACUAAAAUACAUCUAGAUACAUUCAUUUCUAUGAUAAGUAUUUUCGAACGGAGGAAGUAUAUAUGUAUCAUCAGAAAUUAAUGUAACAGAUAAAUUGCAAUGUUGUUGUUCGAAUGUCCGCUUUCUGCUGCCUGCUGAUUUUAAGCUAGUAUUGGUAUUUCCUAGAUGUUUGUACAUUGUGUUACUGUUCGUUUUUGUUUGGCAGUGAUUAUGAAGUUGUUUAUGGAUCCGAGGAGCAUUCCUCCGUUGUCUACAAAACACUAGCCGUUGACAAGGAGGUAAAGAAGCCACAGUUUACCGGACUCUUAACAUGAUCACCACGUUCUUAACUUUCUCAUGGUUGUUCGUUCAUGGCAUUUUUUGAGGCGUGAUUCAGGAUCAUGGUUCACCCGAACGUAUCCUUCACGUCGUACGAUUCAACAUCCUUUUACAUGUGAAUCUGUGUCAUGCAUAUCAACUUUAUCUAACAUUUUGUGUCAUUUUUUAUUUUUUUUAAAAGGAGGCUCACCUCCGGCCUCUGCAUCAGAAAGAUGCAUACGACCAUAUUUAUUUAAAAUCGAAAAUAAUGUCUGCAAUCCACAAAUAGACUAUGCAAAGGCUGAAAAGUAAAGAAGUGAAUUUUAAAAAAGCUACAACCGGCCUAAAAUAAGACUAGAAACCUAUCCACCUAUUCUAUUAUUGGACCGCAAUCCAAACUGGUUAAAGAAAUCCCGAGCUACCAUCUCUCAUCGGAUAGAUCCAGUAGCCAAACACUCCCUAUUCUCAGCAGGAGUGAGUAGGGACCAUGUACGGAUCAAAGAAGUUGUCCUGUGUAAAACCUGCAAAAAAUUGGUUUUAUAAAUUUUGUUAUAAACCAUGUCAUUUCUGUAAUUCCAUAUAGCCUAAAGUAACGCACAAACUCCUAUGCGAAUCUGUCUUGCCACGUUGAUGUCUACUCCAUCCAGCCACGUCCCAAAUAACGUUUGAAUGCUUGGUGAAGGUGUGAUAUUAAAGGCUAUAUGAAUUGAAGUCCAAAGAAUUUUUGCUAACGGGCAGUCAAGAAAGAGAUGUUUGAUUGUCUCUAACUGGUUACAAAAGCCACAACUUUUGUUUUCGCGCCAAUUACGUUUUGCCAAAUUAUCCUUCACGAGAAUCACUUCCUUGUGAAUGAACCACAUGCAAAUUUUGAUUCUUAAAGGGACCUUGAUCCUCCAAAUAUGAAUAGAUCUUGGAAUUGUUCCAGAGUCAAUGAGGUCUAAGUACAUGUUUUCACCGAAAAGAUGCCAUUCUUAGAUAGCUUCCAAUGAAGUCUAUCAGCCUCGUCCCAUAGGUUAACCUCCAUCAGCCUCCUAACUAGAUCAAUCCAAGCUAUCCAUCGAUCGCCUUGUAAACUCCGUAUGAACUGAAUUUCAGAGGAACAGACUGAAGAACAGUAGCAACAUAAGCCUUCUUAGGCUGCACAAUGUUAUAUAGACAAGGGUAUUGCAUGGCUAGCGACGUCUCACCUAGCCAUGCGUCCUCCCAAAACCUCGUAGUCCCUUCAUUCCCGACGAUAAACUUAGUCCUCUGAAAUAACGUCGACUUCGUUCUCAUUAGACCUUUCCAGAAGGGUGAAUCAUUGGGUUUCAUGGUGACUUGAGCCAAGGUUUUUGCAUGUAAAUACUUAUUUCUCAGAAUCUGUAUCCACAUGCCAUCAUUCUCCACGGACAAUUUGUAUAACCAUUUGCUAAGAAGACAUUUGUUUUUGACUUCUAAGUUCUCGAUCCCGAGACCACCUUGCUCCUUGGGUCUACAGACAAUAUCCCAUCUAGAAAGUCUGUAUUUUCUUUUUAUCUCAUCACUUUGCCAAAAGAAACGCGAUCUAUAGAAGUCCAACCUCUUCCUCACCCAACCGUAAUCUCAAAGAAGGAAAGUAGGAACAUUGGCAUACUCAUGAGAACUUAGUUAAUGAGGACCAGCCUACCACCCUAAGACAAUAGCUUUUCAUUCCAGCAACUCAGUUUUUUCUCGAACCGUUCCUUGUUAGAUAACUUCCGAUGAUGUAUUGGUAUACCUGGAUAGCUGAAAGGCAAGGUACCUAAAGCACACCCAAACAACUGUCUGUAUGUAUCCUAUUCUUCUUUGGCCUUCCCAAAGCAGAAUAGUUCACUUUUGUGAAAGUCGAUCUUCAACCAUCAUAGCUAUUCAAACAAGCAAAUGACUAGUUUCAUAUUCCUGACCUUUGCAACAUCAUGUUUCAUGAACAAAAUAGUGUCAUCAACAUAUUGUAGUAUGGAUACACCAUCAUUAAUCAGGUGUGGGACAAGGCCUCCGACCAGGCCUUCCUGUUUUGCCCUCCCAAUCAUAAUUGCCAACAUGUCCGCAACUAUAUUGAAGAGGAUAGGAGACAUUGGGUCCCCCUGCCGUAAGCCUUUGUGCGUUUGAAAAUAAUGUCCAAUGUCAUCAUUGACUUUAAUUCCAACGCUUCCCUUUUGUACAAAGGAUUCGACAUGUUUUCUCCAUACAUCAUCAAACCCCUUCAUACGUAUCGCUUGCUGAAGGAAAGACCACUUAACUUUAUCAUAUGCUUUCUCAAAAUCCAAUUUAAAGAUGACCCCACCUAGUUUCUUUGAGUGGAUUUCGUGCAGCGUUUCAUGAAGGACAACCACACCCUCUAGUAUGUUUGUGUCAUGCAUUGUUUAACUUGUAAACAUCUUUUAUCAUGCAUUUUUUAAUCAACCAUGCACAGAUCUUCAUGAAUAGUGUCCAGAGAUCAAUGGUGUCUAGUGUAGGUUCGACUGAACCAUGGUCCACGGAAACACUUUCGUCGAAUACUCUAUUUGAUGUCUUUGCAUCAUAUUGCAGUUGCAACCCAAUAAGGUCAGGCGGGAGACGACUGUUUCUGGUGGCAAGCUUCUCAUGUUAGUAAACCUACACCCACAUUUCUAAAAGCUUCCUUUGCGUUGCUCCAUGAGGGAAGCAUUUGAUUUAUUUAUCUUUGCGAAGAGGCACUGUUUAAACCUGAGCAUCUUCAACAGACGCCUAAAAAGUGUUCCGCGCGUUAAAAGAUUCAUUUUUUGGGCACCGGAUAGCUCCAACAGACGCUGCAAAACAGUGUGCGCGUUAAAAUUUUUUGGACGCGCGCAACAUAUUUGGUGCGCCGGCUUACGCGCGCAGCAAACUCUGUGCUGCUGCCAGUGGGGUCGCUGGAUUGGGCGCCCCACUCGUACGCGUCUGUUGGAGAUACUUCGGUCCUCGCGUUUUAAAAGUGCUACAGUGACACGCUAACCAUUUUAUUGGACGCGAUAUUUUUUGUGCUGCUGUUGGAGAUUACAUAUAUAUAUAUUUCAGGCACUUUGAAGCAGCAGAGGCCCGGUUCCUUCGAUCAUUUUUCAGUGUGUUUGUUGACCUUUAUGGUGCUUGUGACGAAGCUCGUGGAAGAAUAUGGCGUCGUGAGCCAGGAAGGNNNNNNNNNNNNNNNNNNNNNNNNNNNNNNNNNNNNNNNNNNNNNNNNNNNNNNNNNNNNNNNNNNNNNNNNNNNNNNNNNNNNNNNNNNNNNNNNNNNNNNNNNNNNNNNNNNNNNNNNNNNNNNNNNNNNNNNNNNNNNNNNNNNNNNNNNNNNNNNNNNNNNNNNNNNNNNNNAGAUGGCCGAUGGCCCAAUCUAUUUAAUCAGAACGUCCGUAUCUGUGGAUGUGCUCCCAUUUGCCAAGCUAGAAGCUAGCUAUAUUGGACAACACAACACAGGGAGCUGAUCUCACUGUCCUGAUGGAUGUGUUGUGAAUAAAAACCUUGUUUUUAUUGUACUAUAUAAGCUGUCACUGUUUGCUUGAUCAACCACUGCCCUUUUGGCUUUUGGCAGGCCGAUGUCUAGGCACUAGAAGGGAUGCUGUGUGGUUGAGCCAGUAAACAGUAUAGGUAGAAAGAGACAACCAAGCUAGUAAAAUCAAUCAUAGUAAAUGAAAGAACCUCCAAUUAUUAAAUUAAUAUACUGCCAUAUUACAGUCUAUUGAUCGAUACAUGGAUGCCACAAAUCAGUUAAGGUCUGAGGCGAGAUAGAGACUGCAACAUAAGCAAGUACUUACUACGUGGUACAGAGCAUGGCCAGUACACAUGCAUGUACAACAUGCACAAGUAGUACUAGAUCGCGUCUUAUUAUUGUGACCACACCAACCUAAGGACUACUAAGAGAGAUCGAGGCACACACACCUGAAGGUAAAUUAACUAACGCCACACAGUACAAUCCAGUAAAAAUGGUAAUUAACUAACUAGUAAUCCACACGCGCGCGCACCCUGCAGUAGUAAUUAACUAAUCAAAUCCAUCACUUCUCCAUGUCCAUGCAUGUCGUGUUGCGUAUUCGUGUCGUGUCGUGGUCGAUGUUGGUGGGGUGGGGUGGGGUGGAGUUCUGUGUGUCUCACACGGCGGGGGCGGGGACGAUCUCGAUGACCUCCGGCUGGUCGACUGCCUCGGCCGCCUUGGCGGCAUCCUUGACGUCGAUGGCGGUCUGCUGCUCUGCCGCCAUGACCUCGAUCUUGUGCACGCCGAGGAUCGGGGUGGGGCUCACGGACAAUAUGGCGACGGCGUGCACGGGCAGCUCGAUCACCUGCGGCUGGUCCGCGGCGCCACCAUUGCCGGCGUCGGCGGUAGUAGUGGGUAGCACGGCGUUGCUGGGCUUGCGGUACCAGCAGUAGAGCCCGAUCUGGACGCAGCUGAAGAAGAAGCCGCCCACGUUCGGGUACUGCAUGGAUGCGCACAUGCAUGGCAGAGUCAGAGAUCCGUCCACUCGAUCAAUGGCAGGAGCAAUGCCAAUGGAACAGAGUAAUUAGGUAGCAAGCAUACCAUGACGAAUGGGUCCCUGGUGAAGAGGCCGUAGCAGAACCACGCGAUGGCGCUGAGGACGAGGCAGAAGGAGAGGCCGACGGGCAGGAACUCCACGCUCUUGGUCUUGAUCACCUUGAACUGCAUGCAUGCGCGCCAUGUCAAUUAAUCAACUGUCAUGCAUUGCAUGGCCAUGGCCAUGGCCGGCCAAAACGAUCGAAUCGAAGCACAAGAGAGAGAGGCGGCGGGCCUGACUUACGAUGAUGGAGAGCGGCGAGACGAAGACGGCCAGGGAGAAGGCGAGGCAGACGCUGCCGAGGAACUUGACGCGGUGUGCCGGCGCGAAGGCGUACAUGGUGACGAGGAGGACGAGGCCGAAGGCGGCGACGUCGAGGAUGAAAAAGUAGGCGAGCGUCCUGAGCCUGGCCCUGGGCGGCGCGUAGACGAGGUAGGCGAUGAUGUAGACGGUCUCGAUGCCGCAGCCGAAGCCGUUGAUGGUGAGCAGGAGUGGGGACUCGGUCUUGACCAGCGCGUAGAAGAUGAGCAGCGAGCAGCUGAAGAGCGCCACCACGUACGGCACCGAGCUGAACCCGCCCGUCGUCUUCUUCCUGUAGAUCCGCAGGAACGUCGCC
RNAcentral lists this long non-coding RNA (74553 nucleotides) under Hordeum vulgare. The record is from RNAcentral. Lineage: Eukaryota; Viridiplantae; Streptophyta; Magnoliopsida; Poales; Poaceae.